RNAcentral lists this long non-coding RNA (59555 nucleotides) under Eucalyptus grandis. Its description in RNAcentral is "long non-coding RNA (EGRA_LNC001292)". The record is from RNAcentral. Lineage: Eukaryota; Viridiplantae; Streptophyta; Magnoliopsida; Myrtales; Myrtaceae.
UGGAAGGAGUUAGACAUUAUUAAAUUUUGGAACGCUUCUCCAGCUUGGACCUUGGAAAUUCCUCCGAGUUUAUAGGAGAGAUGAAUCUCAAAGAAUUAAUAUUCCUGGCUAUAUUGGAGUGCAACAAGCAAAGCUUCAUUUGAUUUUCACCGAGGAACCAGCGUUUUCUCCUAAAUAUGAUUGAGGAGCUUUCCUCCUUUUCCUUUCAUGAUAAUAUUAUGCCUGAGAACGUUCCUCAAUUUCAUUAUUGGAUCAUUAUGCAAUCAGUUUUGAAUGAAGAACUAGAGUUCUUUUUCAUUAUGCAGUAACAGUGACAAUACUUGCAGGAACACCCACGCCUGGUGAACCUAUUCUUCAUUUUAUCUCGAUACUUCCUGCACAUUCCACGUAAAUGAGCAAGGGCAAGGGUUAAUGACUAUUCUAAAUUGAGUUAAUAACUAGGGCAGCUGCUUGAUCACUACUUAUGCUCGUGGUUUUAGUUUGCUUCCUUUGGGGCUUCUUUCAUGGGAGUGAUGCUUUUCCAAAAUGUGUGUUGGCCAGCCUCUCCGUUUGUAAGCUGAGAAUUGUAGGAUCUGUGGUCGUGGGAAGAAGGAAAUGAAUCGUGAUUGUAUCAACCCAGAGAGUGAAAACUGCAUUGUAUCUAGUCCGUGUAUUCGCUUGUCAAACAAUGCAGUCUUUGGUAGUUAGCCUGUGUAAGUUCACGAUGUAAGAGAACGAGAUUUAUUUACCUACUCGUGUAUCACAGUCGCCAUGAAUUGACCAGGAAGACACCAAGCAGCAAAACUAUGCACUGAUUUGCCUUUUUCUCUCUUUCUUUUUAGUUCAAGGAACCAGGAGACUCCAAGAACAUAUGGAAAGCUAGCUGCCUUGUCGAAGAACAUUUUUCGACAUAGCCACUGGUAUUGUGUACCAGCUACGGGAAACCAUAUAUGGCAAGAAAAUAUCUUUCUAAGACACUAGAUGCUAUCAACUCGCGAUUCUCCAGUUGCUGACUUGCAAUUGGCAAAAGUGGCUCCAACCAUUCUGGAUUGAGAAAGAAGCAAUUAGAGUGGAACUGAAUAUUUUGCAUCCUCUGAUACGCGAAGAAGUGUGAGAAGUUCACUACAUAUCUGCAGAAAUUUUUGAGAGAUAUCAUUUCUGUCUGAAUGGACCAUUCCAAAUCUUGUAUUGACGUGAGGGGAAGACAAACAACUCAGGUAUGUUAUAAACUGCUUCUGAGGCUAUAAAUUACUAUUAACUCUAAUUGCCACCUGCAUAAGAAGACCGGUUUAUUAAAGAUCUCACGUUCCCAUGUGUCCAAACUUGUUCAGAAAGAUGUGCACUUUACCCUGUAAAGCAUAUGCUCCACUUUUAGUUCAUUUAUUAGAGAUCUUCUAUCUGUUCUGGCUUAUAAUUUUCUCAACAAGAAGAGAGAGUGUAAGCAAUGGUGCUGAUGCCAGCAAUUCUGGCGCCGUGGGAGCAUCCACUUGUCCAUUCAUCUCUCCAAGUGGUGUGGGAAAUGACUGCAACAAAGUGUUCUUGAGCUUUAGAGGCACAGAUGCUCACACAGGAUUCACAAAUCAACUCUACCAUUCGCAAACUUGUGGAUGUAGGCACUGUGCCAGCUCAUGUUCAGAGAUGAUAAAGACCUCCAAGUCGGCAAGGAGUCUGGGUCAGAGCUUCUUAGCGCAAUCAUGCAGUCCAAGAUCACGGUACCAAUUAUCUCUCCCAAUUAUACUUCCAAUAAAUGGUGUCUUUGUAAGCUCAUUCAAAUGAUGGAGCAGAGAAACAGAGGAAAGUCUUGCUGAUGUUUUACAAAGUCGAUCCCUCACAUGUGCGGUACCUGAAAGGGAGUUUUCGCAAGGCCUUCCGCUCACCCAAAAAGCAUUUUGAUACGAAGGCUGUCAAACCAGGGCAGCGAGCUCUCCGGCAGUGAGUUUCUUAUACAGAUGGGAAUAAGAAAAAAUCGCUAAUGGGUACCUUCGUUUCCGUUGAACCUUGCGUACUUUCUUUCAACAAGAUCUUACUGGGGGUAAAAGAAAGACAUUAUUUCGUUGCCAUAAUCAUCCUGAACUCUUGCCCGCAGAACCAGGACAAACUAUGUACAAAAAUUUGCUGUAUUCAUCCUUCGUCCAUAUUUUCACCCUAGGAAAGCGUGUGUGAUUUCUCUGUGAUUAUAUUUCUCGUUUUUGCGGUCAGCUUUGCAGACGCGACAGCAUUGAAAAGGAAAGCGCUGGGCAAGACAUCAAAUCAUCUCAUUGCUGAAUUGAGGAGUCUACGAAAAGAUUGCAAGUACCCAACAUGAAUUCGUUACCAAAGAUAUACUUCCUUAAGCUAAAUGGGGCCCACACGGAAUGAAUAGGAAAGCAAUGGCUAAUUUAGGAAAUAAGGAAGGAAUGCCUCGUGUUGACGAGAACUCCGUUGGCGCAAAUGAUAAGGUACUUGGCUCCCUCAAGAGCAUUAUGUCGCGAGUUGGAUUAUUCGAGAUUGUUUCCUUUGGCCAUCCACAAGAGUCCCAAAACCGUGCAAUGCUAUGAUUACCGGUGUGGUGGAGAUAGGUAGCUUGCCAUAUAUUGGGAUAGAUUUCAUCAAUUCAUGGUCACUAAAUUUAGAAGAUACGCACAAUUUGAUUGGCGAACUUUGAUUUCGAUCGUUGCAUGCACUGAACUUUAAGUCCUUUUCUUUUGCAAUCCAUGCACUUUGAUUGGAAACUAGCCAAUUCUUGAUCCAAACACUGACAUGGCGGAUGUGCGGUGCCGGCGUGGUGUCCACCUUCGGCAUCAUGUUAGCACAAAGAAAAAAGAUUAAGAAAGUGUUUUUUUUUUUUUUUUUUUUGGGGAGGGGGAGUGUUUGUGGAGGAAGGGAAAAGAAGAAGUGAAGAGAGCCACCAUCUAAGUAACACUAACACACGACACGACACGGCACGAUAUGCCGGCACGUCGUUUUUCAAAAAACUGAGAAUUCCAGCAUGUUGGUACAUAUUAUAUUAAAUAUAUAUUUUAUAUAUACAUAAUAAAUUAUCAUUUUUAUGAUUUUUUUCAAUUAAAUUAAUUUGAAUCAAAUUCAUAAAUAAAUAAGUAAAUAAAAACUCUUAAAAUGAAUUUACCACUAAAAACAUUCAUCUGCUAUUUAUUAAUAUCAUUCAUUAUUUUAAUUUGACAAAUUCAACUCUAUUUCAAUAAUUCAUAAAACUUUGAAAAAAAAAAAAACAAGCUAUCCAUAUUUUGAACUUGCAUGUUAGAUAUGUUGGAAGAGGAGAAAAAAAACUUAUGGGAUGAAUUGUGUAUCAUCAGAAGUGGGAGUCAGAAGAGAAGAGAAGAGAAGAGAAAACUAGGUUUCUCAACCACCGGCCGGUGGCAUGGAUGGUAGAGCCUUGGCCCUCCCUGGUGGAGGCCAAGGUUCGAAGCCCCUGCGAAGUAGGGAGGCUGAAGCAUUGUGUGGUGACUUAAGCGUGACGUCAGGGUAGUGGUUUCCCUGCUAGCUUCACCGGGGGGUUUACGGUGCACUGUCGGUGCAAGCUGGUUCCUCCUGUUCCAAAAAAAAAAAAAAACUAGGUUUCUCUUCUUUCUCCAUUUAUUAUUUUUAUUAUUGUGUUUUAUUUUUUUCACAUAUAUUUUUUUUGACGUUUUGUUUAUUGAAUUUUUAAAAUUGACAUCGAUAUCAUAAUCACAUGUCGGAAACUCGUAUGUCAAAAUUCCGACUCGAGUGUCAAAGAGUGUCGGAAAAGUUAACCAGGUGUCGAAUUUUCCAACACGUGUUGACCGAGUGUCGGAGAGUGUCAGACAUGUGUCGAAGUAUCCGACACAACAUGAAGGCUCUUGGAGAAUGUCAGUGCUUCAUAGGCCACCAUCAGCCCUUUGCCUACAUUUCCCGGAAUUUGUAGAGGGCGCCAUGACCCUCUGUCAUUGCAAGGCAGAGGGUUGCGCAACCCCUUGGCAUUGUCCUUGAGGGGUUACCAUGUUUGGAUAAGUUUCCUAUGUUCUUGGUCGGGUCUUGCCGAGUCGAGCCCAUAGUUUAUUUGUUUAGUUUUGAGCUGUUUUCUAUUUUGUUUCUGCGGAAAUUUAUUCGAGGGUUCUAGUUGAUCUAUAUAUAUAUAUAUAUAUAUAUAUAUAUAUAUAUAUAUAUAUAUAUAUAUAUAUAUUGUGAUAGCCUCCUCUCUUGUCCACAUCGCCUAGGGAGGGAGGUCUUGAUUAGCUUAUAAGGCUUGGGUCCAUUUAACCUGUGUAACGCGUUUUAAAGCCAUGAAGGAAAAGACCGUGGCUGGGAUGGCGGUUCGUCUGUGCCAGGACGGGUGACCCAAAGCGGACAAUAUUACACAGUGGAGCCCGAGAUGUUACAAAGCCAACUCCCGAGCGCGUGUGGGACCAUAGCUCGAAUGCUAUUCUGACGCCCAUGGCCAACUGCGUGUGGCAUGUGGGACCACAGCUCGAAUGUUAUUCUGACACCCAGACAAUAUUACACAGUGGGGCCCGAGAUGUUACAAAGCCGACUCCCGAGCGUGUGUGGGACCACAGCUCGAAUGCUAUUCUGACGCCCAUGGCCGACCGCGUGUGGCAUGUGGGACCACAGCUCGAAUGCUAUUCUGACGCUCGUGGGGCCACAACAAGGACGCUCUUCUGUUAAGAGGUGACAUCGCUUAGAUCCCUCUAACCUGUGUAACACGUUUUAAAGCUGUGAGGGAAAAGACCGUGGCUGGGAUGGUGGUUCGUCCACACCAGGGUGGGUGACCCAAAGCGGACAAUAUUACACAGUGGGGCCCUAAGAUGACAGUUCGUCCACUCUAGGGCGGGUGACCCAAAGUAGACAAUAUUACACAGUGAGGCCCGGGAUGUUACAUAUAUAUAUAUAUAUAUAUAUAUAUAUAUAUAUAUAUAUAUAUAUUGAAAAUUAAUAAAAUGGAGCAACAAAGACCUCUUGCUAUAGCCUCAUCGAUCCACGAAUGGAAUAAGGAGCGCGUUGUCCAUUGGAUAGUAAGGAGCACGUUGUCCAUUGGAUCCACGGCGAGUCUUCAAGAACACUUCCUCUUACGGUAGCAAUAAUUUAUCAAUCUAGGCUACAGAUGAUAUAAACUUAACGAAAUUUGCUCAUUUCUGGCCAAUAGGCCAAAAUUAUAUAGACCAGAUGAUAAAAAAAUUCAUGGAAUUCGUAACUGAGAUUUUCAUUUUAGAAGGAUUACACACAUAAAGUUUUGGGAAACUACGUUGCACUUUAGCACUGCGUUUAGACCUCAGGAAGAUGGUCAAUUAGAAAGCAAAAUCCGAACAUUUUAAAGUGAUGUUAAAGAGCAUAAGCGAUUGGCACGGCUAGACACAGGCCGAUAUAAUUUUCAAUUUUAAGCUAAAAAGGCAUCUAUUCUAAUUGAAGUCGUAAAUAAAAAAUCGUCGACACAUCUAAUUUAAAAUGUUGCCCUCAACAGAACUAAUCUAAAUCUUAUUAAAAUAUACUACAUCGCCCCCUUUCAUGUAUCUUAACUAUUAAAAGAAAAUUAACCCAACUUAACUAUUGUGGAAGUAUCACAAUACAUAAUUUAUUAAAAAAAACAUGGUUUAAAAUUUAAAAAAAAAAAAACACAUCUUUUUUUUUUCUUUCUGUAUCUCAAUGAAUUUCACAAAACAACAAAAAAGUUAAUUGAACGAGUGGUACUUUACAGUUAAAUUCCUUUUGCUUAUAUGAUCAAAUUAAAUCUUAGUAAAACACUACAAAACACUACAAACGGCCUUCCUUUUCCUUGCGUUUUAUGCUCUAAUUAACUUCAUUUUCGCUCCAAAAAAAAGUAACUUCAAUUCGCUGAUAUUGGAGCAUGUACUAUAUUAGACAAUCUUAUGCAUCAGAUUACUCGGGCCAUAUUUAUUUCUUAUGUGAUGCAUAAAUCAUGAAAGUACGAUUUAUAUUUAUGUUAUACAGAAAAAUGCAGUCAUCUAUUAUGUGCCUGAAUAACAUGAGAAGGGCCCCUUUUUCAGCUAGCAAUUUACUUUGACCUGACAAUUUUAGCUUGCACUUUAUUUUAUUCCUCGUCACGUUGAAAAUUGUCAUCUUUAGACGGUACUACAGAGCUACAAAACGACGUUCCUUAUAAGUUUACUGAUGAGGACACAGUAGGCAUAUAUGUCACAUCCAAAAAUUCAAUGUUGAGAACGAAGUCUGGGUGCCUUGUCGAGGACAUCAGUAGAGAUGUCUUUUUGGGAAGUUACCUAGAGAAAAUGGAAAAGGCAAAGGCAAAGGCAGAGGGAAAGGAAAAGGAGGAGGGAAAGUGUAAGACAACGAGGGGAAGAUUGCAGAGAAGAGGGUGAGGUAGAGAUUUUGGGUCCUUGUGUCGACCUAAGACCCGCAUUUGAGGAAUCGGGUGGAUUCACACUUGAAUGACCCUCUUGAAACAUCCUUGGGGAACCUUCAGCAUAAUUCUCGUAACGCUCCUCCCUCAUGAAAGCAACAAGCUGUGAAUUGUGAGAAUCACCCAUCAUUUGCCUCUCCAGGAUCUCCACGUACUCCCUCCACCAUUGCAUAUAGCUACUUUUCUCCAAAAAUAUGUCAGGGGAAACCUUGUACUUCUCGAUCAGACCCAGAACACAUUUCUCAAACUCCACCAGUUUCACUAUUUUGGAACCGUUUGAUGAUCCUCCGCUUUCCAGCAAACUGCACGACCGGAUGGCCUCCUCCACGUGUGCCCAAAAGCACAAAUCCUCCGUCACACUCGACUCGACAUUGUUCAAUUUCAAAUUCGAAAGGCCAGCCUUCUCCUGGUAUUUUUUUUUUUCCAGAUGAUCAUCCAGCCAUUCUUCUACCAGCCUGUAGUGUUUGGAUCUUCCUCGAUUUAUGUAAUCCUUUCGGCCCCUUCUGUAAUAUUCGGUUAUGUCCAGUGGUUCCACUAUCCUGCAGUAAUUUGUCCCUCCAAAGAGCCAACGGUACUGCAGUGGCGUGCCCCAUAUUUGAGGCUUCUUCUCCGCUUCUUUGACCACACCCUCCCAGUAAUCCGAGAGGAUUGUCUUGUACUUAUCAACUCCAUUGUCGUGCCUUUCUCGUGCAUUUUUGAAGCUGUCACAGAAACCAGGACCCCUGCCGUUGGCUUUGCAUACCUUCAUGUACCACUCCAAGAAAGGUACACUUUCAUUUGGUCCAAUUGCUUGGCAGGAACAAAUGCCUCUCUUUAUUGUCUUAAGACGUCUCUUUCACGCUUUACUAUUUCAUCUAUCAGAGCAUCACUGCCCUCAUUUAGCUGCUGUCACUGCAAUGAGAGUCCACUCAAUCAAAGUUUAUAAAUAUUCAUAACAUUUAGAAGCUUCCAACUUCAGCAAGUUUUCCUUUUAUCCUGCUAAAAUUCUGAAUUAGUCUAUCCGCAUUUUAAUUAGGUAAAAACAUGGUCAAUGGCAAAAGUGAGAUAUAUGUGUGGUUCCAAGCAGCACAACUAUCUGCUAAAAAGCAAACUUCUCCUUGAUGGAAUGUAACCAUGAGAAGAAGGUCAAGUUCAGAUACCUGUAUUGGCUUGAGGCCGACCACUAUGACUUGAGUAGUAACCCCAGCUUUAUACGAACAUGCUUCUUGCCCAUUCAACCAUGAACAAUCAUUGUGAAUUAAUCUUUGCUCUAGCCAUCCAAUGACAGUCUUAUAAUCAACACUUCGGGACUCUUCUGUUUCCAACAGCAAUUUCCAAGAUGAGCAGCUCCAUGAUGGACUCGGGCUUCAAAACAGGUACCACCUGAUUCAGAACACAAAAGGAAGGUACCAAAAGGUUUGUAUUGACUUGAGUUAGUGGUGGAAGGGUGAAGGAAUGGUCUAGGAAAACAAUCAUCCGUAUGAGCUACAUGCAAGAAGCACAAAUUCCAUGUUAAAUAUUGCGAUACAGCUUGUCGGAAGGCAUUGUCUCUGAGGAGUGGUGAAUUGCAAGUGAUACAGAGGGGGAGUGUUCCCUUUGUUGUGUCGAGUGUGUUUAAGGCCAUAACAUGAAAUGGGAGGUGAUGAAUCCACCCGUUCAGUGUCCUGUAAUAAUAUAGGGAACUGAGUCCUUAGACUUGGCUGAAGCUACAACCUGCGUUGAAGCAGAAUAAGCAUCAAUUCAUAUUCUCAACUUAUAGGUGCCAAGUACAGUCUUUCAGAUGAGAUAAAUAUGCACAGUUAAUAAAUGAAAUGAAACUCUGCGCAAUCAUAUGAUUCAGUUAAAUGAAAGAUUCAAUUUAUAGGGAUUUUCGCAACUAUGCUCAAAACAAUGAGAAAAAUCAUUUCCAUAGCAGAACAGUGCUUCACUUCUCAUCUAAUAGGCUUAAUGAUAGGUGGUGAACAACUCGAAACUCCUCAAUUGUAGCAAUUAUUAGCAUGUCUACUUCAACAACGAUUUCUGUAAGCAGCAAUUCCUAGAUACAUGCGUACUUAUGAUCUCACAGCCGAUAAUAGUAAUAACUAGAAUGGAUAACUUGAGAGAAUAUAUAGAAUUGCUACCUUUUCUUUGAGUCGAGAGAGCUCGUUUCGAAGAGAGUUAAACAGAGAAAUCACAGCUUUGUUUAUAUGAAAAGUUGGAUUGGUUUUGGAGCAUAGGAACUGAAAGUUGGGGAUCUUCAAUGAAGGAACCAAAUCUCUUUCCUCUUCAAGACUACCUGUAGUAACCGGUGAGGUGACAAAGGUAAUGAUAUUGUAGUUCAGGCAGUGAAAUUCAUUGAUUAUUACAGGGUUAUCCCUAUCUGAUCGGAAAGUCGCGGAUUUAAGUCAUGGAAACACCCUCUUUACACAACGCAAGAGGAAGUGUUGGUUGAUUCGCCGCUCUCCAUUAAUCCUGAAGAAGAUAUGAUGACACAGCCAAGUUUGCCAAAUACAGUCCAUCGCUGAAUCUGCAGAUCAAGAAAACAACAUACUACUCGUCAAGAACGUGGAUUAUCGGUAAAGUCGAUGCAAAAUGCAUUCUCUCCACCGAUUGCCGAACCUGGAUUUCUGUCUCAGAAAUAAAAGGCAAAGGAAAGAAAAUUUCUUUACGCACAGAGAAUCUAUAUCUCGGUCCAUUCUCAGAGCUUCGUUGGAUCUGCGCAGACACAGCUAUUUAACAUCGUGCCUCCAUUUUUAACCUGAUUCCAGAAACAAAAAAUGCAAGUGCCAGCUUGCUUAAUAUAUCUUCCAAAUCACCCAGCCGGUAUGAGUGAGAUAUGGAUUUGAUGAAAACUUACGGAAAAAAUCAUAGGUUCGCGUUCACUGAUUUUUUCAAUAGAGAUUGAUCAAUAGACUUGACCAUUGACAUUUUAAUUGUGAUGGUGAUUAAUCGAGUAUUUUUUACUUGUUUAUAACUUUGUUGAAAUGAAAUUACUCAUAUGUCAUUUAUGUAAUUUUACCUUGAAUUUGGAUUAUAGAGUUUUGGUAUUAUUAUGUAUAUAUACAUAGUGAUUGUUCGAUUUACUUAGAAAAGAUAUACUACUCACUGAACUGUGGUUACUUAUUUCACUCAUUUUUCAUGUUUUUCAAGCUCCUCGACUAGCGGCCAAUAGUACAAGAAUGCUAUCGACGGGACUUUCGGGAGUAUGAUUUCGAUAUGAGCUUAGCUAGUUUUUUUUUUUUUUUUUUUUUUUUUUUUUUUUUGUAGAUAGUUGUUGGGUUGGCUGGAUUCUAAAUUGAACAUAUUCUUUAUGAUAAUGAUAGAAAUUAUUAUAUUGUAACCAACCUGUUAUUUUAUUCAAUAUAUAUGGAUGGAGAUAUAUGUUAUUGUUAAUAGGUUAUUGGUUAUGUUUGACACAAUGUCCUUCAUUCAUACGAGAGGACGGUUGUGUCAUCCUUUUUCUUAUUGGUUUCAGGACGUGAUAUAUGAUAUGGUGGUUGACUCUAUCAAGAGUGAAACAUCCUAAAUUGGAUCUUCCGUAAUUGUUGUCUAUGGCAUCCCCAAGAGUCAUGAACUUGCAUUGGAUGUUAUAAUUUUUUUUUUUUUUGUGCUGGAGGAACCGGCUUGCAGCCGACAGCCGCGCCGUAAACCCCCAGGUGACACUUAAGCAGGAGGACCCACCACCCCUGAGUCACACUUAAUACACCUAGCGCCUCCCCUGGAUUUUGAACCCUUCACCUAUUCGUUGAGGAUCAGCAGAGCCUUAACCAGUGGAGCCACCGCGGCCGGUGGUUGGAUGUUAUAAUUAUUUGUCAUCGUUUUGUGGUCGGUAAGAGGGUAUGCGCAAUCCGGUCGGUGAACUUCGGAUUUUAAUCAUCGAACGCGCUCAAAUUUCAGCUGCCAACGUAGUGUCUAACUUGGGCCAGCGUAAGCCCCAAGAAAAAAAAAAUAUAUUGAUAUAAUAAAAAUAAAGAUAAAAAAGAAACAAAAAAUGGGUAGAGAGCCAUUAAGAACAUGUGGGCCGAAAGUUAAAGAAAGAAGCAAGAAAAUGAGUACCCUCCAGAAGCAAGAAAAUGAGUACCCUCCAGUUAAUUUGUUUAGUUUUUUUCUUUAGUUCAUUAGUUAAUAAAAAUCAAAUUGUUGAUGUGCUUGCGAAAAAAAAAAGAAAGCAAAAUUUCUUAGAGCUUAGAAAUAAGCUUAUAAAAUCAAAUACAUCUCAUGUGCAAAUCUAAAAUACAUACAAUGAAUCCAUCUUAUUAGAUAAACGCAUAGUGGUGCUCCUGAGCUCUUUCAAUGUGUGGUUGACAUUUGGUGUUCUUCAUGAGUGACAUCUUUCUUUACUUUCUUUAGAAAAAUUUUCCUUUUAUUUUUUUUAUUUUACUUGAACUAAAAAAUUUCCGUCUUAAUUUAAGAGGUAUACGAUUACUUUUGAUAUCACGCAAAUCCCUUAUUCUUGUGAUGAUUGAGUAUAAUUAUAUCAGUUUACUCCAUUCACUAGACAAUGCCAAGAAGGCACCACCCAGCACUUUGUCGAGUUUGGAAUACUUGUCAAAAUUACAUAUCAAAAGGUGCGGUGAGCUAAUAGAAAUCAAGGGUUUGAAAGGGCUAAAAUCCUUAGCAAAACUAAAAGUAUCUACAUGUGAGAAGUUGUUCGACAUCAAGGGCCUUGAACCCCUAAAGUCUUUGAGACCUUUGGAAUUGUCUGAUUUCGAGUCAGAUGCUUUACCAGUGAUUAAUGAUCUAUUUCAAGUUUAAGGCCUUGACAAAUUGAAAAACUUCAACGAGCUACUUUUCUAAAGGUGCCAGCCCCUUAUGAGGCUGGACCUUUCGCAAUUAAGAUAUCUGAAAUUUUUAAGAGUUGAAAAAUGUCAUAAUCUAGUCGAAAUUAGGGGCCUCAAGGGAGAUUUGGUCACCUAUGGGGGCCUUCCUAUGCCGUCAUCUAUAGUUGGUCUAAAGAUGUCUAUCGCAGGAUUAAAUACGCGGUACAAGACGGCCGAGAAUUUUUUUUCCUAUUAUAUGGAGGGCAACAAAUACUUAGCGCAUGGUUACUCUUAUUUAAGACAAAAGAAAGUGGAAAUUUGAAGGGCCCAUGCGCAUGUCUCUCGCGCCCAUUUUUCUCCCCAUGCGCAUGCAUGCCCACAAAAAUAGCCAGGCGCCUUGCGAGAAAAAUAUUGUGCAGGCCCGGCCUCUCCACGUAAUCGUGGGCGGGCCCAUCCACGUGGCGUCAUGUGUCGUCCAAUCAUGGUCCCAUUGUCUCUCUCCAUCUUGAGUCCUCUCUCUUCAUCAAAGACAUCUGUGUCCUCCCUUUCCCCCUCUUCCUUCGUUUCAAAAUUUCACUCCCUUUCUCCCUCUCUCCUGCGUGUGAAGACACUCUCCUCCUUUUUUUUCUCGUGUAUUUUGGCUUCAAAGAUAGAUGUGAAUUCUCCUCAAAACCACGGGCAGUUUUUUUUUUUUUUUUGGUCAGCUCCCACAAGAAAACAUCCCUCCUCAAAACCAGUUGCCAUGCUCGCUAUACAUCCUGAAAUGAGUUUUUUUUUUUUUUAAAUGGAAUCUUGCACCCAUGGAUGAGGCUUUCCUGGCUUUUGGUGGUGCAUUUCGGGAUUUCUUGAGGUUUCGCUGACUUAGGUAUGUUCUUUUUAUCUGUUGGGCUGUGUGGGAAUACCUCUGUUUUUUCAUUGCAUGGGAAAAAAGUCUGGUUCUGGGCAUUUGACCAGGUCAAAGAAAGUGUCUCUUGACAGAAUGUGAAAUGGAGAUUUGAGAAAAGCUUUUUCUCUGUAUAUUCAUUGUGUAUAUUUACAUUUCACUGAUGAACUUAAAAUGUAAGAGACAAAGGAAUAAAACAGGAAAAAAUAACAAAUGAAUCUCUAUUUUCCUAUUUACCAAAACUAAUCCACGGAAUCGGAAUCUUCAAGAUAUAUUUCCAACACUCCCCCUCAAGCUGGUGGCCUGUAGAUGUCAAGGAUACCAAGCUUGCUCAAUAGAUAUCCAUGCUGUUUCCGACAUAACGCUUUAGUAAAGAUGUCUGCAGGUUGCUUCGUUGUUCCGAUUCCUUUUGUCACCAGGACUCCAUCUUUGAUCCUAUCCCGAGUGAAAUGACAAUCCACUUCUAUGUGUUUUGUUCUUUCAUGAAAGACUGGAUUUGCCGCUAAUUUGAGUGCAGCAUCAUUAUCACAAAACAAUUCAGUCGUUCCACUGACUUGUAUUCCGAGAUCCAGGAGUAGUCCUCAUAUCCAGACUAUUUCACAGGUAGCCUUUGCCAUGGCCCGAUACUCUGAUUCUGCGGAUGAUAGUGAGACAGUUGACUGUUUCUUUGUCUUCCAAGAAAUUAAUGACUUUCUCAGCUUUAUGUAGAAACCAGUAAUAGACCUCCUGGUCAUUGGACAGGUGGCAUAAUCUGUGUCGCAAAAAGCUGUCAUCUUCAUAUUGCAGUCACGGGAUAGAAGUAUACCAAGGCCUGGACAUCCCUUUAGAUACUUCACAACUUUCAAUGCCGCAUCCAUAUGUGAUUGCUUUGACAUAUGCAUGAACUGGCUGAGUAUUUGUACGGCAUAUGAUAUGUCAGGUCUUGUCAUUGUAAGAUAUAUCAACUUUCCGACAAGUCGCUGAUAUUCUGAAGGAUCUUUGAGCACUGAGUCCUUAAUGUUUGAAGGAGAACUUAUGUCAUAUUCAUGCGUUGUCAACUUGACAUUCUGCUCAACUGGAAUGACUGCUGGUUUACAUCCCGAUAGACCUGCUUCAGAAAUAAUCUCCAAGAUAAACUUCCUUUGACUGAGGCAAAUUCCUUCAUUGGACCGAGCAAUCUCGAUGCCAAGAAAAUAUUUUGGCAGUUCCAAAUCUUUGAUGUGAAAGGUGGAGUGUAAAUAUCUUUUGAAUUUGGCAACAUCAGAAUCAUUAUUUCCCAUGACAAGUAUAUCAUCAACAUAUAUCAACAGAUAAAUUGAUGAUGCUUUUGUAGUACGGGUAAACAAGGCAUAAUCAUACUUAGAAUGCUCAAAACCUGCAUUGGUUAGUGCAGCAGUGAAUUUGGCAUACCAUUGUCUUGAUGCCUGUUUUAAUCCAUAUAAGGAUUUGCGAAGACAACAUACUCGAGACUCCCCCUGUCUGCGUAAUCCUUGAGGAAUAUCCAUGUAGAUUUCUUCAUCGAGAUCACCGUGGAGAAAAGCAUUAUGCACAUCCAUCUGAUGGAGAGACCAAUUUCGUAUGGCAGCGACGGAUAAGAAGGAACGUACAGUGACUUCUUUAGCUACUGGGGAAAAGGUUUCAUGGUAAUCAAAACCCUCUUUUUAAGUGAAUCCCUUGGCAACUAACCGAGCCUUAUAGCGCUCAAUAGAACCAUCUGUCUUGAAUUUGAUUUUGUAAACCCAUUUGCAGCCAAUCGGUUUCCGUCUUGGUGGCAAAGGGACAAUAUCCCAUGUGUGAUUCUCCAUCAAAGCAGUAAGUUCGGAUUCCAUCGCAUGUUGCCAUCUAGGGUCUCGUGCUGCCUCAGCGAAGGAGAAUGGUUCUCGUUCUUCAGAUAUGCGACUUAUACAGCACAAAUGUCCUGGCGAUAACUGAUUAAACGAUACAUAUGAGCCAAUGGGAUAUUGUGUACCUAAAGAACUUCUUGCAGAACAUAUGUAAUCCUUUGUCCAUGUAGGUGGACGAGUGUGCCUUCCAAAUCGUCGAGGUGGCUCGAGGAUUGGUGCUGGAGGAGCCGAUGAUUCAGGGAGAAUGGGUGAAGUAGCUGUUGGUAUAGGAGAUUGGGAAAUGUCUUCAGAUAAUCCUGGCGAAGUUGCUUCUGAAGGUGAUAAUUCCAUUGAUGCAGACCAAGGUGGUCCUGAUGAUAUGGGUGGUCCUAGUGCAAUAAGACACCCUGGUGCUGAGGACAAAGAGUCAUCGGACAAAAAUAGUAUGUCGUGUCCUAAUGGUAAAGAGGACUCUGAUGAAGAAACCUUUUCCUCAAAAGGAAAUAUGUCUUCAUGGAAUACAACAUCCCUGCUAAUGAAAAAAAUCCCUGUAGAGAUCUCCAUAACUCGAUAUCCUUUCUGAAGAGAAGAAUAUCCCAUAAAAACGCACCAAGUGGCUCGAGGCCCCAUUUUAUCUCGAGGACCCACAUUUUUUGUAUAGCAUAAACAACCAAAUACUUUAAGAUGAUUAUUAUCAGGCUGUCUGUUGUAAAGCAUCUCAAAAGGGGUCCUACCAUUAAGAAUUCGAGUUGGCAUGCGAUUAAUCAAGUAAGCUGCUGUGACCACACAAUCUCCCCAAAAAUCUUCUGGAAUGGAAGCUUGAUAUUUUAGAGCACGAGCAACCUCUAACAGAUGCCUAUGUUUGCGCUCAACAAUACCAUUUUGUUGCGGAGUGUAAGUGCAUGAACUUUCAUGAAGUAUACCAUGGGAAGAUAGAAAUGUGUUGCAAUCAGAAGUGAAAAAUUCACGCCCAUUAUCUGUACGAAUUUUUUGUACAGAUUUACCAAACUGAUUUUUAAUUAUGGAAAUAAAGUUUGAUAGAUGACCAAAAGUUUGGCUUUUCAAUUGCAUAAGAUAAACCCAUGUGACUCGAGUGUAAUCAUCAACGAUUGUUAGGAAGAAUCGAGAUCCAUCACGGUGAAGAGUAUGAUAAGGUCCCCAAAUGUCCAUAUGAAGUAAAGAGAAGGACUCUGUUGUACGAGAUGUACUUUUCGGAAAAGGUGCUCGAGAUUGUUUAGCUAAAGGACAUAUUGGACAUUUUGGAUGAGGAAAAGAAGCACUGUGACCCAAUCGUUGAUGAGAAAGGAGAUUUUUAUUUGAACUGAUAGCAUUACAAGAAACAUGCUUAUUUAAUAAUUCUAAAUCUCCUGGGGAAUUGUUCCAGAAAUAGAGUCCAUCUACCACACUACCCAAGGCCAUCACUCUGCCAGUCGAAUGGUCCUGAAAAAGACAAUUGUCGGAAUUGAAUGUGGCAUGGCAAGAGUUAUCCUCACAUACUCUUGAGACAGACAAAAGAUUGAAUUCAAAUUCUGGAAUAUAUAGGACAUUUUUCAGGAUUAAAUUUGGACCAAGAUGAACGGUGCCGGUUUGGGUAACAUUUGUGAUGUUCCCAUUUGGGAGACGGACCGUGAUAGGAGAUUCUGGCAUUUUAUAUGUGUGAGAAAAAAAAAUCUGUUGCAUACUAUGUGGUCACUAGCAUCUGAAUCGAUAAUCCAUACAUCAACCAAAAACGAAUUCUUAUUGUAUAGGAAAGUACCUGAGAAUCCUGCACUUUUAUCACUAGUCUUGAGUUGAUCCAGCAUUUGUACAAUAUUCUGAUAUUGUUCUUGAGUGAUCAUCUGGUGAGGUGAUCCAUCUGCCUUUUGUACAAAAACUUGGGAAAUAAUGGAUUCUCUCUUUUUGUCAUUAGGCUUUCCAUGCAACUUCCAACAGGUCUCAAUGGUAUGAUGUGGACGUUUACAGUAGCUGCAAUAUUUAUUUUUAAAUAUGGAAUUCUGCCCACUGACCUUUCUUGCUGACGUGGCACGAUCCCAGCCGUCCGAUUCUGAUGAAGCUGCGAAUAGAUGAUGGCCGUCCGAUCCAGCGCGUCGAUCUCGUCCGUCCAAUCCAGCGCGUCGAUCUCGUCCGUCCGUUCCAGCACUGAGAUCCUAGCCGUUCGAUCCAGCGCGCCGAUCUCGUCCGUCCGUUCCAGCGCUGAGAUCCCAGCCGUUCGAUCCAGCGCGCCGAUCUUGUCCGUACGUUCCAGUGCUGAGAUCCCAGCCGUCCGAUCCAGCGCGCCGAUCUGAGCCGUCCAUCUUGGAUCGGCGAUCCCAGCCAUCCAUUCCAGAUUUUUGAUCCGAGCCGUUAGAUCGAAAUGUUUUAGGGUUUCCUCUGGUUCUCCUCGCCGUAGCCGCAGCCACGAUUUUUCUCUCCAGAUCUGUGGAGUUUCCGCCGAGAGUUGUAUCGCCGGAGGGAAGAACGGCCAAGCUCAGGCCUUCGCCUAUUCGAGCGUGUCCAGCGGCGGCCAUCCGAUGAUGCUCCUCUUGGACGGCCAACUGGUAAAUGCGACCGAGCGGUGGUGGGGGGUCCAUCGCGAGGAUUUGCGAUCGGAAAGCCGAGAAGGAUUCGUUUAAAAUUAGUAAGAACCUCGUCAUUUUCUCCCUUUCUUUAAUUUUUCGGUACUGUUGGAUGGUUUCUUCAGGACCUUCGAGUCGUUCUUCGGCGGCCUCAAGCUCAUUCCAUAGAGCGGAGAGGCGGUUGAAGCAGGAGGUAACCGAGAGGUUCCCCUGCUUCAACUCCGACAGGGCUUGGGUGACGGUGAACAGUUUCGCCCGGUCGAGGCGUCCGUACAUCUCACGGAUGCUGUCCCAGAGAGUGUGAGAGUCUUCGGUUGGUGGGAGUCCGGCAGCGAUUUUCGGUGCGAGGCAGUUCCCGAGCCAUGUGCGAACCAGUUGGUUGCACUUGCACCACUGCCGUUGAAGACGUUCGUCGGCCGGAAAAGGAACGGCUCCGUCGAGGAAGCUGUCCUUGUCUUUGGUGAUAAGGGCGCGCUGGAGAUCUCUUGCCCAGGCCGCGUAGUUCUCCGCUCCGGUAAGCUGCAUCCCGAGGAGCUUCAAUUCGGGUCCAUCGGCCGGCGACGUGUACAGAGGGUCGCCGGGUUCAAGCCGGCCGCCACUGCCAACCGGAAAAAACAACGGUGCAUAUCCGAGUUGAAAUCCCGGGUAGGGAUUCGAACCCGGGAUAGAUCCGGAUCCCUGACCCGGCGGUGUGUAUCCGGGUUGAAAACCCGGGUAGGGAUUCGAACCCGGGAUGGAUCCGGAUCCCUGACCCGGCGGCGUGUAUCCGGGUUGAAAUCCCGGGUAGGGAUUCGAACCCGGGAUAGAUCCGGAUCCCUGACCCGGGAUGGAUCCAGAUUCCGGAGCGAAAUUCGUUUGGCCCGAUGUCUCUGUGGGGCCUGUUACGGACUGCGACGGCCCAAAAGGAAGCUGGGUCCAUACCUGUCCUGGCAAUGGGCCAAAAGGAUACUGGUUCCACAGCUGUCCAUAUGCUGGAGGAAAGGUUGGAGGCCACUGGACUGGGCCGGAGGUCUGGCCCGACGCUGGAAUCAAUUGUGCAAAAAGGGUUUCUUCUGAUGGAUGAACAGAGGUUCGGUCGCCGCCAAGAGAGACAACCGGAUCUGAGGUAGGUGUCUCCUCUGUUGAGGAAUUCUCAACAUUUUUCGUCAUGGCACCAAGAAAAUUGAAUUCCUAAUCGUUUUGCUGGUCUGUUUCGCAGGUGGAGAUUAUGCAACAACAGGCCAGAAAAAGAACGAUGGCAAUUCAAAAAAAAUGCGGAAGCUAGGUCAGGAGUAUCGGCUCUGAUACCAUGACAGAAUGUGAAAUGGAGAUUUGAGAAAAGCUUUUUCUCUGUAUAUUCAUUGUGUAUAUUUACAUUUCACUGAUGAAUUUAUAAUGUAAGAGACAAAGGAAUAAAACAGAAAAAAAAAAAUGAAUCUCUAUUUUUCUAUUUUCCUAUUUACCAAAACUAAUCCACGGAAUUGGAAUCUUCAAGAUAUAUUUCCAACAUCUCUGUUGGAAAAAUUGAGAAUAGGAGUUUCAUUUCUGAGAGGGAAGGAAGACUCGUAGCAGUGAACUGAAGAUAAAAAUGUCUUCUGUUCUAUAUUAUGUUGGUGGCGUGAUCUUUGGAGGCAUUUGGGCAUUGAAGAUUCGUUGAUGGAACCCAGAUGGAGAGAGCCAAGCUCGAGAACGAGAGAAUGGUGCUUCUCAUCCACCAGAAGGAGCUCCAAUUUGCUCGAUCUUCAACAGCAGCAGCAACAUUCAUCCAAUAGGAGGAGUGGUGGCAGCGAUGAGGGUUGAAAGGCGAAGGAUUUUGAAAGAAAUUAAAAGCAAAAAACUCCGGCUCACGCAAAGCCUCGCUCCAAUUCAAAAAUUGUUUCGAUUGUGCCUUUCGUUUGACCUCCGUGAUUGGGCCAAGGCACGGUGGCACUGCUGGACGGUGGCUCUGCGACCAGGAAGAAAGCUCCGACCACCAACCCAAUCGUGGCCAAUUCGAGGGUGGAGACGCUGUGACUUGAUCGAUGGAGGAUUGAUAGCUUUGGACCCUAUUCUUACACAAGACAUGUGUGUCUGCUUGUUCCAUGAGUUAUGGAGGAUUUCUAAAGAACAACCACCUCUCGCUCAAUUCGUAGUGCAUGCUGGUGGUUUAAUUGACUGAAAACUGAAAAGUGGUAUGUGCAAGUCUGGUAUGUGCAAGUCUGAUACCAGUGGAUGCCUUAAGGCUUUUACUUUAUUUCAAGGACUGAGAAAAGGGCACUAGCAAUCACGGUAUUUUCACUCUGGCCUCGGUUAGUUCUCUGUAAUUGGGAUAUGCUUCGAGCUUUCCCUUUGUUCAAGACUUUUUUUUCUGCUUGGAUGCUUUUUCGUGUUUGAUUUAUCGAGGAGACUAAGGUGAUUUGUGUAGUUCCCUUCCUUUUCAUUCAGAUGUAAGUUGAUGACUGUGUGUGAGUUGACUAUGAGAAGUUGAAUUAGCUUGUGAAAAUCACUAGCCUACUGUUUGUUUGCACCUUUCAGCUAGAUCGAGAAUUUGAAUUCUAUAACUAUGACAGGCCAACAAAAAUUGGUUCAUUCUUGACACAUAGAUCACCAACCACCAACAAGAUAACUUGCGUUGGUUCUGUGAGAUGAGGUAUUGAAUGUUAAAGCUACUACUAGAUUGUGUUUCCUGAGUAUAAAAUGCAGGUGCCUGUGUAGUCUGCCUUCUUGUUUUUGGAGUGCUUUUGGCGUGGACUUUAUUCAGGAACAUUCACCAUGGUUUGGAUCCCUGACCUACAUAAUGCAAUACAAGGGGGAAAAUGAUUUUUUGUUGUUAUCUAAACAUCUCUAAACUCUCGUCAUCAUAUUGAAAGCUAAUUUAUCAAUUCCCUAUGCUCGGUCACCAUUGCUAAUUUUUUUAAAAGAUUUUUUAAUCCUUGUACUGAUCUUCUGUGCAUCUUACUCUAAUAUUUGGUUCAUGUCCAUUCAUCAGUGAUUUUUCUAAUGUAUCUUGCCUGAUGCUGUCAAAAUAUUCUAAAUCUCCUUCUCUUUCAUACCUGUCUUUUUUCUUUUGAUGUUUUAUCUCUGACUUUAUUCGGCAGGAAUUCGUUUUUACAUAGAAGAUGGCAAGCCCAGAAGAAAACAAUGAUGUGAAAACUCUGGAAACACAGCCCGAUAAGCGGAGAAACAAGAAGUCCAUCAUCUGGGAACACUUCACAAUAGAAAUUAUGAGUCCUGGACGUAUAAGGGCAUGCUGUAAGCAGUGCAAGCAAAGUUUUGCCAAUGGCACAGGCUCAAAGGUCAUUAGCACCAGCCAGCAAAGUAAGUUAACACAAUGCUUCAGGGGUAGUCAUGUUCUGGAUCAUUGGAGGCAUUAAAAUGGAUCACGGUGCCUCAUCAAAUUUUACAAACCUUAAAAUGAUCUUACCAAUGUUCCAAUGAAUAAGUUAGCAACCAACAUUUUCUCAAGUUUUACAAGUGUAGCACUCUAAUAAAUUUACAAAUAUGUCAAUAAAUUAGUAAGUUUGUAACAACUAAAAAUUUUCUAUAGUUAGUGUUAACAAAAUUUUUUUGGUCAUAAGCAAGCUUUUCAUUCACUGAGUACAGGCCCAAUUACAUGAAAAAGGGGCAUCAAUUGGUUUACGGCAGACCCAUCAAUUAGUUUCCCCUCGAAAUCACGGCAGAUGCAUGCCAUGGAACCUUUGGAAGAUCCUUCAUGGAAAGUUAUGUCAAUGUUUGGCUUGAGAACUUGGUAGUUUCCAUCUUGUGGGUAAGUGUCUUGGGCUGCUUCUAUUCUCUUAUUCUCGGCCAUUCCAUUUCGAGAGAUUCAUAUGCAUAGCCAUGAUAGACGCCAUUGUUGUUGCAGGAUCUGGUAAGUGAUGCUUGAAAAUAAAGGAAUAUCUUUAUGUCCAAAUAUGCCAAAAAGUGACCGCGAUCAGUUCAAAAGAUGGGGAGCUUUGAGGUGAUUACCAAUCUCCAAUGGCCAUCCUUCAAUUCAAAUAACUUCUUGAUUUGAAAUCUCAAUGCCUAUCUCAGAGGCCAACCUUAUCUGUUUCGUCCUUUGACAAAGAAGGAACAGAUGUUUGACAGUAUCAAGUUCCUUUUCGCAAAGAGAGCAUCUCGACUCAGGUACAAUCUUCCUUCUGAAUAGGUUUUCUCUUGUGGGUANNNNNNNNNNNNNNNNNNNNNNNNNNNNNNNNNNNNNNNNNNNNNNNNNNNNNNNNNNNNNNNNNNNNNNNNNNNNNNNNNNNNNNNNNNNNNNNNNNNNNNNNNNNNNNNNNNNNNNNNNNNNNNNNNNNNNNNNNNNNNNNNNNNNNNNNNNNNNNNNNNNNNNNNNNNNNNNNNNNNNNNNNNNNNNNNNNNNNNNNNNNNNNNNNNNNNNNNNNNNNNNNNNNNNNNNNNNNNNNNNNNNNNNNNNNNNNNNNNNNNNNNNNNNNNNNNNNNNNNNNNNNNNNNNNNNNNNNNNNNNNNNNNNNNNNNNNNNNNNNNNNNNNNNNNNNNNNNNNNNNNNNNNNNNNNNNNNNNNNNNNNNNNNNNNNNNNNNNNNNNNNNNNNNNNNNNNNNNNNNNNNNNNNNNNNNNNNNNNNNNNNNNNNNNNNNNNNNNNNNNNNNNNNNNNNNNNNNNNNNNNNNNNNNNNNNNNNNNNNNNNNNNNNNNNNNNNNNNNNNNNNNNNNNNNNNNNNNNNNNNNNNNNNNNNNNNNNNNNNNNNNNNNNNNNNNNNNNNNNNNNNNNNNNNNNNNNNNNNNNNNNNNNNNNNNNNNNNNNNNNNNNNNNNNNNNNNNNNNNNNNNNNNNNNNNNNNNNNNNNNNNNNNNNNNNNNNNNNNNNNNNNNNUUGGGGAGCGCCCUUUUUUUUUUUUUUUUUUUUGAAAAACCCCCUCCCCAAGGGUGUUUCCCAAAUGUGUGCCCCUUUUUUCCCCAUGUAAAAAAAUUCAUUAAAGUUAAGUCCCCCCCCCCCCCCCCCCCCCCCCCCCCCCCAACCAACAAACCCCCAACCAAAUUGAAGGAAGCUGGUUUUGGAGGUUGAUUAUUGGAGGGUGUACGAAGGUAAUUCUCAUCUGUUUUCUACUAUCUGUACAAAUUAGGUCAAACAUUUCAUUGUGACUGAGUCCAUUGUUGGCACCACCCUGUCAAUUGGUAAAAUUGCUGAUCCCCCUGCUAUUCCAUUUGAAGUCAUCACCGCACAGUUCUGGAAUUGGAUUUGUUUCAAGCUCAUACCACAGGUUCUUGACUCUUUGUGCUCAUCAGAAAAAUAAUGCCAGGCCUUUCCAGAGCCUCAAUGCCAAGAUUGUCUAGGGUGUGCCCAACCACUGAUAAUUCCAGCAUAAAAUUUUCAUGGGAACCUCAAUGGCUUAUUAGUGCUAGCCACCAAAGCCCGUAUUUGAGGAUCCUCCCAAAUCUGAAUUGAAGUUUCCAAAAGUUUGGUCUCAUCCAAGGCAAGAGAGUUCACCUUUUGAGAAGCAUAAAGACUAUACCUUCACUGUGUUUUGUCUCCGCCUGUUUUCUUCAUCUUGCUACAUUUCUUUUGGGGCCCUUUUGAGCUGCCUUCUAGCAUUGUAGAGUCGUUUGGAGCUGUUAUCAGCAUCAAGCUCUUUUCUUAGUUUNNNNNNNNNNNNNNNNNNNNNNNNNNNNNNNNNNNNNNNNNNNNNNNNNNNNNNNNNNNNNNNNNNNNNNNNNNNNNNNNNNNNNNNNNNNNNNNNNNNNGGUGUGGGGUGGUUUUGUAUGGGUUUGCUAAUUGGGCGAGGAUUAACCAGGACUGUUCCUUUCAGCUAAUAUGAUGGUCAUUGAUUCCAUGCCUUGUAGGGCAUGAUGCUAUCAAAGGGAGAUCGGGUUGUAUCAGAAGUUGGGUUUGGGUUAGCUUAUGGAACAGUGAAUAUGGUUCAUGGGAAGGUUGGGGAUUUUGCGUAAAGGGUCAAAGUUGAAAAGGAAAUGGGAGAUUUUCAUCUUGGUAAAGAGUAGAUGAAAUGACUGCUUUAUUCAGCGAAGAACAUCAGGGUUUUCUGGGGUGAAAACUGCCACCGUUGGGGUAGGAUUCCCACCGAGAGAGGAUAUCCACGAAUUCCAACUCAAUUAGGUAAAAUUUUGGUGGAAAAGGUGCAAAAUGAUACAUUCCAAAGACACGGCGAACGGGUUUAAAUUUACAUUCCUAUUUGAAGUUCAUAUUUCUACAAGCCAAACACAUGUUCAAGGGAACAAGAAACCGGGAAUGAAAAAUUUCCCUUUCCAUUGAAAAUAAAAAUUGCAGACUUUGUCAUUGACCAUAAGGCUCCUUAGAACUUCAAUGUGGGUUUUCUAGUUCUUUUCUUUAAUUUGUAGUUUUCAUUUUGGGCUGAGAAUUGGAACGCCGUUGUCACGCUUUAUGCAGCAAUUGUUGAGGCCACCGCAAGGUCUCCAUCCUGAACAUCUAUUUAUUGUAUAGAAGCCCACAGUACUUGCCAUAUUUCAGUGAUGCAGGCACCAUGUCAUUUUUGAUAAUAAUUGUUCUCAUGUUUAGCAGUAGUUGAUCAACCACAAAAAAAAGCCCGACAUUAAUGGAAGAUCCUUCGUCACACUAUGCACAAAAUGAAGAAGAAAAAAGUUGAGUUCUUUCUAGAGAAGAGCAAGCACCACUGCAUGCACGAGCAGAAUUGGGAUUCGCAUUUUCUGCUACGUCCUUUGCUCUUGGAAACUAUUCUUUUGUGUAAGAAACAAUGCUGCCGCUGAAGCCUGCAAACUUCGAAAGAGCCUGAGCUUUCACGCAUGACUUCAAUAGCUCCUCAUCUUAAUGCUCUUGGGAAAGCGUCUAUCUAUUGUACGCCUCUUAAAUAGCUCCCUUCCAUUAUUACUAUGGGUGAGCAGCAAAAGCAUCUAUCUAUCGAACACCUCCCAAAUAGCUCCCUCCUAUUAUUAUUAUCCUUGCUAUUUCCCACACAGUAGCCUCAACAAAUAGACAUUGAUUUAUAAUAAUUGUUUUCAUCCAAAUUACGGUAUCUCUUUUAUGUUGCUUGCCUCCUUUCAAAAAUUGCAAAUUGGCACAAGAAAAAUUAUAAAUGAGCACAAUAUGAGAUUCCAUAAUUAAAUUGUUUAUGAUAAAAAAAAUCGCAAAAAUCAAUAUUACUUGGAACAGUCGGCCCGAAAGUUAAAGCAAAGAGGCAAGAACAUUUCUUUCCCUCACGGAUGGACGAGCCAACCCUCUUUUUAUUUCUAUUAGCAAAGCUUUGCAUGCUGAAGCUUUCUAAUGUCCUAUUUAUAGGGACCAAUCUACUGCUUCAGGAACCUUAGCUUUUGCAACGAAAUUUUUUGAAUUGUGUAGCCAAAAUUCCUGAACGAGAGAUUCACACGUUUAGCCACGAAGAUUGAAGCCCACAAAUUUUAAAAUACGAAAUCCUACAUUUUAGGAACCUUAGCUUCACGUACCACAUCNNNNNNNNNNNNNNNNNNNNNNNNNNNNNNNNNNNNNNNNNNNNNNNNNNNNNNNNNNNNNNNNNNNNNNNNNNNNNNNNNNNNNNNNNNNNNNNNNNNNCUUCUAAAAAAGUAGAGGUCAUGAUGACUUGGAGACACGGAAAGGAGGAGCGAUUGGGAAAAUUGAGAAAAAUAAUUGAUGAAUGCAUUUCCAUAGUACGAUGGGGAUUGCCGUCUCUAUCUUAUCCUCGAUACAAUUGGAAAGUUUGGAAUAAUUGACUGAAUUUAACCUGUUAUGCACAAGCAUUUAGGAAACACGGGAAGAUUUGAAAUAUAGAAAAAUUUUAAGUAUUGCUGAAAGAGAGAAAUUGAGUAAAUUUUAUGUAUUUCUAAAAGGAAAAUUUUACUACUCGAAAUUGUGUGUGGGUGAGUGGUUUCUUUCUUUUGUUAUUCUAAAUUGCAUAUAGCGUAGAGAUUAGUACUUGAUUGAUGAAAUUUGGGAUUUUGAUGAUGUUAGCAAAGUGUUAGUAGAGUCAUAAAUAAGCACUAUCACUAUCAAAUCUGACUUAUAAUUUUCUUGAAGCACUUCUUUUGAAGAAUGAUUCGCUUCCUCCAUUUAAAAUAUAUUUGGUUAUGUUUAUUCCCUUAAGCAAAUUCUUUCCAUUUCAUAUUAUCCAUCAGUAUGCUCAAUCGGAAGAACAAUUGCUUCAACUAAUUCAUAUGUUCUCUUCAGCAAAUUCCUUAAGUUCAGCCAUCUCAGUCCCUUAACAAUUCUUUUCAUGGUAAAUUAUUAGUAUGUUUUUGAGCAAUUGCUAUAUUUUCUUCACAAGAUUCCCCAGCCAUCUUAGAUUCCUUAAUCAUAUUUACAUGUCAAACUUGACCAAGUGCGGAACACUGAUCAAAUUCAUUAUGUCUAGAAAAAUCAUGUUAUGAUUUUAUGUUAUGUUCAUUCAAGCGUCAGAAUAUAGCAAUCGAGGCUCAAAAUGGAUGUGAAGUUAAAGUUGAGGCACUAGAUCAAGGCAAUGCAUAAAAGCCCCCCAAACGGUCACCGUGUAUAUAGGUUUCUAGAAGGUUCGCAUUCCCUGACCUCAAUUGGGGGAAAGAUCUCGAGGGAUGGUCCACAAAACGUGUAUGAUGGUCAAGCCAUGAAGGAUCCCCCCUUGUCACUCCGCCCACCCCCCCAUGUGUUUGUCCGCCGUGUUGAAAGCGUCACAGUUGGAUAAUCAAGAGCUUGAGCCUGAGCAUUGGCAACGUUGAUUCCACCGACCGAGCUCUGGAUCAAAAACCCAAUCACUAGCUUGUCGACCACAAAGUUCUUACAGGAUGAGGGAAGUUGUGCUACUAUGACAUGCAUCUCUUCAUUCUCGAAUUAUAAAGCCGAUAUUCCAGGGCGCUCUUGCAUUGUUCUGUUGGCAAUAGACUUGCCGAAAGUAGAAAAAUUCGAUGAAGCGAACAAUUAAUUGAAGCAUGCUGAAGUUCAAGCUGCCACAAAACGGUGCAAGGGAAGUACAUNNNNNNNNNNNNNNNNNNNNNNNNNNNNNNNNNNNNNNNNNNNNNNNNNNNNNNNNNNNNNNNNNNNNNNNNNNNNNNNNNNNNNNNNNNNNNNNNNNNNNNNNNNNNNNNNNNNNNNNNNNNNNNNNNNNNNNNNNNNNNNNNNNNNNNNNNNNNNNNNNNNNNNNNNNNNNNNNNNNNNNNNNNNNNNNNNNNNNNNNNNNNNNNNNNNNNNNNNNNNNNNNNNNNNNNNNNNNNNNNNNNNNNNNNNNNNNNNNNNNNNNNNNNNNNNNNNNNNNAUUGAUUUAACCUUUGUGGUCUAUUUUUAUCGAAAAUCAUUGAUGUGAUGAUUUAGUUAUCUUGGAUUGUCCAGGAAUCUCCAUUAAAAAUUGAUCAUAAAAGCUAUAUUAAAAUAUCGCAUAAAGGUUUAGAAUUAAAUUGAAGAGAUUGCAAAAUUAAAAACUAAAUUGACGUCCAUACAAUGAGUUUAGAAUUGAUUGGAUAAUUUUUUCCAUAUGAUAACCGAUUUAAAAUACAAAAAACAUUCACGAGUAUGACGUACAUGGCACGUGGUACGAUGCAUGUGAUCCUACGUACCCAUUCAUAUCUUAUUCCCUGUUGCCUAUCUUUGAGCUACAAGCAUUGCAAAAAUUAUGCCAUGCCUUCAAUUUUUUAAUUUAAAAAAAAAAAGACCGUUGAUGGUUUGGUUGAAAAAUCAUCUGAAGGUAACCUUGGAGCAAAAUUCAUUUUGAAACUAGACAUCAUUUAUCACUCAUUGUUAUUGGGUAUGGAAGCACGAUAGUAGAAGCACGAGAAAAUUGUAAUGAGCAACUCGGGUCAGGACAUACUUAAUUGAAAAUAUGGUAUGAAUAUAACAUACACAAAACAAGAAUUGUUGCACAAUUAUCACACACAUAUUUUAUGAUUAGUGAAAGCUUACACUUACUAUUAAGAUUGUUUUUCUCACAUGACACGCAAAAACACUUGAAGCGAAGUGAACUCUUUUUUGCUUCUUUCCCGCACGGACGAGGCAACUCUUUCUUUUUCUCCUUGGUUUAGAGCCCAAAAACUUUGAAAGAACCUGAGCUUUCACGGAUGGCUUCAAUAGCUCCUCCUCUUCAUUUUCUUGUGAAUGCAUCUAUCGUACGUCUCCCAAAUAGCUACCCUACUAUUACCCUUACUAUUUCCUACGUAAUAGCCUUGACAAGUAGACGUUGAUUUCUGAUAAUUGUUUGCCAAAGAGAAUAAUUACAGAAUCUCUUGUCAAUAUCUCGAUUCGAUGAUGUGCGUGCUACACAGAACUUGAAUAAGAGUGAAUAAAGGCUACUCGGACAAAACUUCAGGCGGACGAUUCGGAGAACGUACUGAUUGAUGUGGGUGCUUUAACCCUCUUUUCCUUUUGCUUUUAAAAAGCUAGAGCAACCAGCGUGUUUCACAUUGACGCCAGAAGGAAGAGGCUCGUGACUUUGCAGACUCGGAAAAGAAGAGCGGUAAGGACAGAUGAGGAAAGCGACAAAGGUCCCCUGGGAAGCAGUCGAUCAAAUAUUAUAUGUGAUUCUUUACAGAUCGCUCAAGCACUGUGAAUUCGCGAUGAGACGGGGGUACUGCGGGUUCAUUGAGUGAAGUAGAGAGGUCUCUCUGUUUCUCUGCAUCUGUCGUCAUGAAUAUUAGCAGAAAGAAGAGAGAGGAGAGGGAGAUAGACGUGCGUGCACAGUCCACAUGAGAUAGAAAGACUGAUUUUUCCAUUUGCAAAACACAAUGAUUGAAAAAGCCGUCGACCGAUGUAGUGGAGGUGUAAUUGCAUGUCGCAAUGCAUUGCUUGUGACUCGAAUCAGGAAAUUACCAUUCAUCAUCCUUCAUCAAAUUAAUUGUGAAUGAAGUGGUUUUGGUCAUUUUUCAUUCAGAUCUAAUAGAGAUAAAAUCCCACUCGUGACUUGUAAGGUGUAACAUGGGGUUAUUUUCCUUUUUUUUUUUUCUUUUCAAUGUUCUUCUUGUCGUUGUUUUUUCACACCCAGACACAACCGUUAUUUCUUCAAGAAAAUCCACGAUUACCCCCCCUCCCCCCCUUCCUUUCUCUCUCUCUCUCUCUCUCUGGCCACGUGCGAAAGGAGUAGGAGUUUCUUUCGGUAGGAAAGAGAAGGAUAUUUAACAAAAAUAAAUUAAAGAAAAAGGAAGGAGAAAAGUGUGGGAAAUGGAAAAGAGGGCAUCCGAAAGGAGAGGUACUAUUCGUUUUGUAAAUAUGAUUUCUACUAUGCUAAAGAAGCCAACAAGGUUCUCCUUUAACUUAGCACGAAGAUAAAUUUAUAAUUCACAAGAGAUGUGAUGUGAGAGAUAACACAAAUGCAACAAAUUAACUUCUCAUCAUUUUGAGUAAUCCAUAACCAAUUAAACAAUCGAUGCUCGCCUUAUUAAGAAUUUAUCUUUUAAUAAUAUAAUAACUUGAGUUGACGAGGAUGUACAGUGAUCGUUAGAGUUAGAAAGUCUAGAUAGAGAGUGGCUCUUGACGGACUUUUAAGAUGACAAAAUAGACAUAAAUGAAUCGAAUUGUGCAUCAUAUAAUAAGAUAGCGAUUUUGAAAUAUAUAUAUAUAUAUAUAUAUUGAAAUUAUAUUAGGAUCCCACAACGACUCAAUUCGGAAUAGUCAACAAAGCUCAAGGAUCUAGAUAAAGAACCGUUCUUAUUAAGGUUUUAGGAUGACGAAAUGGUAGGAAUAAAUCAAAUGGGAGGCCGAUUCACACAUUAACACACAAAGGUUUCAGCCCACAAAUUUUGAUGGGCAAAAUCCUAAACUUUAUGAACCUUGGCUUCACGUACACGUCAAGAGCUCCUCAUCCUUCAUUUUCCUGUGAAAGCAUUUAUUGUGUCCCCCAAAUAGUUUCCUACUGGUGGACUUACUAUUUGCUACAUAGUAGCCUAUGGACGUUGAUUUCUAGAUCCAAUGAUGCCCCCGCUACACGGUUCGAUUAGAGGACAAAUAAUUCACGCGGAUUUUUCUGGGAACGUACCGAUCCAUCGUGUCGGUGCUUUAAGCUUUUCCCAUUUUCUUUUGGACCUUCAACCAGCGCGUUUCACAUUGACCCUAAAAAGAAAAGUUCAUGAUGGCCUUGGAGACUUGGAAAGAUAGGUGAUAGGAUGGAUGGGAGAAAUAAUUGGCGAAUGCUUUUUAGUAAUGUGAUGGUGGUUGUGUCUUCAAAACAAUGUUGCUAAUGUCAUUUGGGCCAAAAAUCAAAGAAAAGUAAGUGAGAACAUGAGUGCCCGAUGGUUUUAUGAUCUUAAAUCAUUGUCCUUGUCAUUGUCAAAGUUCAUAAGUUAAUUAAGAACAAUAUUGUUGAUUUGCUUGCACAUAAAAAAGAGAGCAUAAUUUCUUAGAGCUAUGAGUUAAGCCUAUAAAAUGAAAUAUGUUUCAUAUAUAGAUCUAAAUGGAUACAAUGAAUCAACUUAUUAGAUAAAAGUAAUAGUGACUCACCAAAAAACUUUCAAUGGGUAAUGGGUACACGUGACACUUUUGUGAGUGAUGUCUAUCUUAACUUUUUAUUUUUUGAAAAAUUUUCCUUAUACCUUUCCACUGUAAUCAAACUAAAUAUUUUUCAGAUUUAGUUCAAGGUGCGUAUAAUUACUUUUGAUAUUCCAAAAUUCUCUUAACCUCAUGAAGAUUAAGUAUACUCCUUGAAUAAUUAUUUCUUGUGAUCACGGUAACAUAAUUAUAGUGGCAAUAUCGCUAUUAUGUUCUUUUCUUUCUUUUCUUUUUUCUUUUUUUCUUUUUUAAUGGGAGUGGUUGUCAAGGCCGAUUAGGAGCAGACGUCCAGGGCCAGGAGUGAGGACCCCGAGAUGGCAACAAUUAAGGAAUUGUUUUUAGUCAAUUUACAAUCAAAUUUUUUGGUCAAAUUUGAACAAGUCUCUAGUCAACACAUGAAAAGGUCAAAAUAAUUAUUUUAGAAUUUUAUGCAAAAUUUCACGCAAAUAAUUAGAUAUUGGAUUUAUAUUGUUCAGUCCGUGAAGCUUAUCCACGGGGAAAACAACACAAAAUUUCACUAUAAAUCAAACGAUAUGAUAAAGUUUACAUGGUACUUUCAAUAUUUCUCAGCUCCCAUUGUACCCAUUAACCACCAUGGCAUUUGGCUUCACGAUUCAUCAUGAAGUAAUCUUGAAUUCACAAAUAUUACCAUAAGAUUAAGUUACUGUUUGGUAACAUGUUGAACAGUAACUAUUUUUUUUCUUUUAUUCCUUGAAAAAAAAAAUCCGUUUUGUAACUUUUUUAUUCUUAGGAAUAGAUUUGGAACGGAAUCGAGAAAUAAAAAAAAACUGCUUUUUUGUUUCCAAGAACAACUCAAUAAUCAAGUCCAAAUCAUUUUUUUUCCUCUUUUCUUUUCUUUCUUUUUCUCUUCCUCUUCUUCUUCCUCUAAUCGUUCGCUAGGCACCGUGAUGGCCAAGGUUUGGCAACCUCUCCGUGGUCGAGUCUCACCAUGGCUAGGCGAAGCUCGGCCUCGUCGAGUUUGGCAAGGCUCCCCCGAGGCUAGCAAGGUCAUUAGCCAUUAUUGUGGCUGGUGACUCGCUAGAGGAAGAAGAAGAAGGGAAUGAAAAGAAAAAAAGGAAAUUUUUCAUUAAGUAAAGGAAAUGCUAUGUUAGAAAAAAAUUCAAGAGCAGUACCAAGUGCAUUUCUAUUAUUUUUUUUUAAUUUCAAGAAUAGAAAUUUUGUACAAUUAUCAAACAUCUUCGAAUGUUUAGAAACUCAUUCAGAGAAUAGAAUUAGAAAAAAAAUUAUUUCUCAGCGGAAAUUAUUCACAUGAACAGAAUGAUUACCAAAUACACCUUAAGUAGGUUUGAACAUUUAAAGCUCAUCUUAGAUGUAAUUCAGGAAAAAGACCAACUAUUCACGCGGACGUUUUCUAGGAACAUACUAUUGUGUUGGUGCUUUAAGCUUUUUUCCUUUUUCUUUUGGACUAGCAACCAAGGCCUUUCACAUUGAUACUAAAAAGAAGAGGUUCAUGAUGACCUUGGAAACUCGGAAAGAAGAGUAGUAGGGCCAGAUGAGAAAAAUUAUUGAUGAAUGCUUUUAGUAAUUGGAUGGUGGCGGUGUCUCUCCCAUAUCCUCGAUGUAGUUGGGAAAUUGGAAUAGUUGACAGAAUUGAACUUGCUAUGUACAAGCAUUUAGGAAAUACCUAAAUUCAUUAGGGAUUUGAGAUAUAGGAAAGUUUUACGUAUUGUUGAAAGUGAGAAAUUGAGUAAUUUACCUAUUACUACUAGCAAGUUGGGCAAAAAACAUAACCUAGUCUUAUUAUAUGGUAAAAUCGUGUAAUUGAUUAGAUACACCGAUGGUAAUUUAGAAACAAAGUCAACAAAUGCAAUAGGAAGUCAUCAACAUCUUUAGAAAUUCACUGGAGGCUCACCGACAACCACGAAGAAGAAAGCAGAAAAGAAAAGGAAAAAAAAUCAUAAAAAAUCAUAAAAAAAUUCGAAAAAGUCAUAAAAAUUGCCACGUCAGCAUCCGGCCACCGGUCGACGUCCAUGUCAGCGCCGGCCGGCCAAAAUUGACCAGAUGGAUUGAAUUGGUACCAACAUUAAAAGGUUUAGGACUGAAUUAGUCCAAUUGAAAAGUUUAUGACUGAAUUGGUACCAAUGUAAUAGAUUUAAGACUUUUUGGUACUUUUCCCGGCAAACUGUAGUGCUGAUAUGAAAAUCAUAUCGUCUUGAUUCCAUUCAGCAUUGAGAUAGAACCGCCACCAGAUAAUGCCUAAAAGCAAAAGGCCACGACUAAUCACGCGGAGGAAGACUCCAAGCAGUGGAAAGGAACGGCGCGCUUGGAGCAGUGAAUGGAAUGAUCAUCCACCGGAUGUUGCCGAGAACCGAACGUCGAGGAUGAGGAGUUUUGACCACAAGAAGGCAACGAGUGAGUAGUUGUUUUUUGGUCAAUUUGAAGGCAUCUCCAGAUUCCUUGUGUGAACACAUGAAAUACAUGAAACUACUUACGUGCUGUGAGAGAUUAAAAUACACAUUAUAGUCGAGCAAUCAUGCCUUGACUCUUGCUUUCCCCCCUUCCUCUUUACCAGCCACUCUAUAAAUGUGGCGCAGAGAGAGUCCACUAAUUAUUUCCUGCUCAAACCUAUCCACAAUAGUCGAGCCUCUGUGAGAGAGAGAGAGAGAGAGAGAGAGAGAGAGACCGUGCUCUGCGAUGGAAGAACGACAAUUCAAGCGAGCAAAAUUCGCUGAAGCUUCGAGUUCGUCCUCCUCUGAGACUGGAAACAAUUACUAUGUAUUCCUAAGCUUUAGAGGUCCCGAUACUCGCAAUGGCUUCGUCGAUCACCUCUACCAUACACUGCGAGAUGUGGGCCUGCCGUUCCAUAGUAACUUCGUGUUCAGAGAUGAUGAGGACCUCCCCUUCGGUGAGGACAUUGCUGCAAAUCUUCUUAGUGCAAUUGAGCACUCUAAGAUUUCAAUCCCAGUCAUCUCAGAAAAUUAUGCUGCUAGCGAAUGGUGCCUUCGCGAGCUCAUUCAGAUAAUGAAGUGCCAGAAAAAAGGACAAAAAGUCUUCACCGUGUUUUACAAGGUGAAACCCUCUGAGGUGCGAGAACUAAAGGGGGCAUUUGGAGAGGCCUUUAGAUCCAAUAUGCCUCUUUUUAAGGAUGAUGUCAAGGAGCAAGGGCCAGAAGCACUCAGAGAAGCAGCUGCUUCUAGAAUAUUCGAAUCAGAUAAAUUUGCUAAUGGGUACGUCGUUUACCUUGUUUUAACAUGUCCUUAUCGCAAGAAGAAUUUUCCUAUUUAUCAUCCUUAGUCCUCGUUUUGUGGAUCCAUUAAUAAGUUCUCAUGUGUUGUGUUGUUUGACAGACGUGAAGCGGAAUUAAUAAAAGAACUCAUACGAGUAAUAAUGUGUGAGCAGCAACAUGAUUUCCUACUACCUCUUCCUGGGAACUUUAUUGGAAAUGAUGAUCGUGUGGCUGAGGUAAUGAAAUUGGCAAACACUGAUCCUUCCAAAACACAAAUUAUUGGGAUUUGUGGGAUUGGUGGCAUUGGUAAGACAACUCUGGCCAAAAACAUCUAUAAUAAGCUUGCUAAGAAAUUUGAGUGCUGUAGCGUUCUUAUGGAUAUUAGAGAAACAAUUAAUCGCAAUGGUAUGGAGCAUAUCCAAAAUCAACUAAUCUCAGAUAUAUCAAGAAAUCAGGGAAGUUGUGUGCCUGAUUCUAUGAGAGGGAUUGUAAACAUCCGAUCAAGUUGUGAAAAAAAAAAGGUACUUAUUAUUCUUGACGAUGUGGGUCAUCGAGACCACCUUGAUAAAUUGAUUGGAGGUUGUAAUUUCGGGUUAGGAAGUAGAAUCAUCAUUACUUGUCGAGAUAAGGCCCUCUUGAAGUCUGAAUAUAAAUGUUAUGAACUCGAAGUAAUGAAUGACAAACACUCUAUGCUUUUGUUUAGCUUGUAUGCAUUUGGAGCAAAACAACCUCCAACAGAACUUGCAACUCUUUCUAGGGAUAUUGUUGCCACCAUAGGAGGGCUUCCUCUAGCUCUCGAGAUUAUAGGUUCAUAUCUCAAAGGAAAAAGAAAAGAUGAAGUCAUAUGGAUAGAGACGCUAGAGAAAUUGAGAAAGGUACCUCAUACGGAUGUACAAGAAAAGUUGAAGAUAAGUUACAAUGCAUUGGAACAUAAUGAGAAACAAAUGUUUCUAGACAUAGCAUGCUUUUUCAUUGGAUAUGACAAAAGAUUUGCCACCUACCUGUGGAAGGAUAUCCAAUUGCAUCCAAAUUCCGGAUUGGCAAGAAUGAUUGAACUUUCGUUAAUAAAAUAUGAUGAUGGUGGUAACUUGAGAAUGCAUGAUCAUUUAAGAGAUUUAGGCAGAGCUAUUGCCCAUCCCGAAGGUACGCAGCCUUGGCUUGUAGCAGACUAUGGGUGAGAAGCCAUGAAAGUUCUAAGACGCAAGGUAAUGGUUAGUCUACUUUGGCUCUCCCAUGUUCUCUAAUGGUAGCUUUUUAAAUUAUUAUCUUAUCAAUCUUAUUUUUUCUUCUAUAUCUUAGAUUAUUCUCAACGCGUUGUUAGCAUUUCUUGGUAAAAGCUACAUCCAAUUUUGGCCUUUUGUUCAUGAAAAGUUUGCACUCAUGAUUAUGAGGCUCAUACAAUAGCUAUUAAAAUUGUUUACUAUUAACUCUUCCUAUUUUGCUCGUGUCGUUUUAACAUCAUUUUCUAGCAGAUUUGAUAUUGCUUCUUACUAUUUUACUAUUUUACUUGUUGAAGACCGAGCAUCACAGAGGUUUGAAAGUUUACUUAAUGCCACUUAUAAAUCCAGUCCCUCACACUCUAAAACGCAUUAGAGACUUAGAGUCGUUAUAACUUUAUGCCGAUUGGUUUAUAUUAUUCAACCAAACAACAAAACCUUACUUUUGAUCAUUACUUUUUGGUCAUUCAUUCUAUCUUCCCAAAACAUAUGAGCAAUUUAUAGUACGUGGUGUGAGGAUAAAUACAUGGAUCACAUAUUACCCACCUUUUUUACUAUCGAAAUCUUACUUCUCCAAAAUAUGAAGAAUUUUUACAAUUUGUUUUCUAGGAUUUAUUAUGCAUGUUCACGAUGUAAAUCCAAUAUGAUAAUGCAAAUAUAGAACUACAUGAAAAUUAAAGAUUUAGUUUAAAUUGUAUUACUCAGUGAAUGUUAUUAACAUAAUUGAAGCAAGCACCUUGAAAUAUAUCGAUUUUAGAAAUGCAUAAUUCUGUUAAUAACGUGGUUGGGUUAGUUAAUAACAUGAAACAACACUACUUAACUUGGAUGUCUCUUAGUCAACAAUAAAUAGAAAGCUCUUAUUUUUCUUUUCACUUGAAGGACUGGUAAAUUUAAAAAAAAAAAAAAAUCAAAUUCUCUAUUGUGACUUUGGCUUUUCUUUUAUUGUCGCCUAUACCAACUUACAAUCAAAUUAACAAAUUACCAAAAAAAAAAAAAAAGGAAGAUUGUUCAAGAUACAUUAAUUAUAAAGGAAUUGGCAUAUUUAAUGAUAUCUAGUUUUAAUUAUGAGCUCCACAUGUGUACGAUGGAUCAAUCAUGUUCUUUCAUAUGAAAGAUGAGAACUCACAGGAUUUUGAUAUGUGAUGCAACAACAUAAGGCUGUUCCAUUUCUACCCAGCUUUCAUAAUAUAUACUUGUAUUCAUAUUGAUGCUAUGCACGGAUCUAGUUAGGGGUAUUUUGAGCACAUAAUUCAACAUUAACAAAUGUUGUGCAAAAUCAAACGAUAGUAAAUUACGACAAAAGAAACUAAAUAACAACUGGUAUAUGAUUUUAUACAUAUUCAUACAUAGUGAUUUUCAAUUAAAAAAAAAACUGAAAAGGAAAUAACGAUGUUAAGAAAUUAAAUAAUUGUAGGAAAUAAGUGAUGGAAUAAUGAAAGGUAAAAGAAAUUGUGCUCUCCUCCUUUUAUCUGCCUUUGGUGUAAUAUAAUAUCCACCUCUAAUAUGUAGUGAGCGAGCCUUUCUCGGUACAGAUUAAUUGAGCCUCUGUGCACACACACCAACAGAGGAGACAAAAAUCUAUUGUUAGAUUUUAGUGAAGAAAAAACAAAUAAUUAACUUAUUAAAUGAGAUAACUGGAGGAGCAAAAAAUAAAUGUUAGAAUGCAAAAAAAAUGAAGAUGAUAAUAAUCACUAUCCUUUUUUUACUAAUUCAUAUAUUUUUAUAUGAAUGGGUGAAUGGCAAAAAAAUGCACUAACAAAUUCUCGAGAUGAGGUCGAAUUUUAUACUGAUUGGGGCAAAUUUACUAAUAACUAAUUGAGUAGUGCUUUAAUUUUAGGCGAAAUUAUCCAAUUAGUCAUAAAUUUAUUGUGCGGAUGUCUGUGCAGUCAUAAACUUAUCAAUUUUACCAAUUUAGUCUUUAAUCUUUGCACAAAUUUCCAAUAUGGUCAUUCCGAUCAACUUUUGCCGCGAUCCAAUCAUGUAUGGCUAUCCUACAUGGUACACCGUCACAUUAGCAAUUUCCUGUAAAAAUUAGCCGAAAUAACUACAUUGGAAUUUCACAUAAAGAUUUUAAGACUAAAUUGCAAAAUUGAUACAUUUAGGAUUGAUUGGACAAUUUCUCUCCUAUCUAAGGAUUAGUUGUUGUGCUUUGAGCUUGUAUAUCCAAAAAUGAAAACUCAAGUUCAAUAGACAAAUUUCUUGUUUUCCAUCUAGCCAUGCGCCAAAACCAAAAACAUUUUCUGAAGGGGAAGGGAAUGAGUUGUCAUGCUUUAUGAAUGUAUAAGUCUAAUUAGGUACUUUUUGUUUUUGAAAUAUGUAACAGUUCUCACAUAUGUCAAAGGGGCGCCAUAUUUAGUCAGUUGUCAAUACUAUGUAUGUUACAAAAUUUAUUUCAAAAUCUAGAAGAAAAUUAGACUAAUUUCAUAUAGGAAUUUCACAUAAAACAUCAAAAAAUGGGGGCAUACGAGUGAAAAUCGACAUAUUGAAGAUCACGUAAUUGUAGAAGAUUAGAUAUGUUUCCUUUUCCCUAUAAGUGUAGACAAAAUGCAUUGGCCACAAUAACAUGUAGAGUAUACUACCAAAAGGAGGGUGGAUAGUUUUUACAAUCCUCAAUUUUAUUCUAUUUUUUGUAGGAGGAAAAUGAAAACAUUGAGGCACUACGUUUGGACAAAAAGGGCUCUAGACAGUUCAUGAAGCAACAGAGCUUCAAAAAAAUGCCUAACUUGAAGUUCCUUCAUGUGAAGGCUGUGGAUUUUUAUGGAGAUUUCAAAGGAUCGCUUUCUGAAUUAAGAUGGCUAAGGUUGGAGACAUCUCCUAACUCGUUCGAGGCAACCAAUGUUCAUUUGCAGAAAUUGGUCAUGCUUGAUUUAUCAUACAAUAAUAUUGGGGGAUAUAUUGAUGAAAAUUGGAGAGGAUGGAGUUCAAUUAAGGUAAAGAUGGAAAAAGGCUUUCUCUUUUGUUACAUUUGAUGAUAAAUCAUUCUAUUUUCUAAUUGCUAAUAUUGGAACAUGUUUCUUUCUUAUAGAUGGAGAGGCUGAAAGUUCUCGAUCUUUCAGGUUCCUGCCAUUUACGAAGCACUCCUAAUCUCUCCGGGUUUAAAAAUUUAGAGAUGCUAAUCUUGAGACAUUGUCCUUUGAAGGAAAUCGAUCCUUCCAUUGGAGAUGUCAAGCGCCUCGUUUCCUUGAACUUGGGCUAUUGUCGAAGUCUAAAGAAGUUACCUAAACAACUCGGCGAACUAGAAAAUUUGGAGGAACUUGUCGUAGAGUAUACUGGGAUAAAAGAAAUCCUUCCAUGUAUAAGAUCUUCGAAGCGGCUAAAGAAUCUUAGUCCCAAAGAGUGUUCGCAACUUACUGAAGUUCCUGUCUCAAUAACCAGUUGGUCAAGUUUGUCGUUAGGAGAUUACCACAAGUCGCCACCAAUCCCUUCUUCAAUUGGGAAGUUGGGACAGUUGGUUAAGCUGAACUUGUCAUUGACAAAUGUUAAGGAACUGCCCGAAUCCAUUGGGGAAUUGAAAAAAUUGAAAAUUUUGAACAUUGGUUGUAGCUCAAUAGAAAGAUUACCAAGCUCUAUUGGAAAAUUGCAAAGCCUCCAAGAGCUCGAUGCCAACCAGUGCGAUAAACUGGAAGGACAAAUUCUUGUUGAUGAAGGUGGAUUGUCUUCUCUAAAGACCCUUGAUUUAUCUCACACAAAAAUUUCUGGCUUGCCAGAAAACUUAGAUCAGCUUCAUUCUCUCGAGGACCUCAGUUUAUAUGCCUGUCAUGAGCUUGAGUCAUUCCCAAAACCUCCUUUUAGCUUAUUAGCCUUGGAGCUCACCUGUCGGAGCAAUGAGCUGCCAUCGCUCUCUCACCUCAAGCAUCUACAACUUCUCACCCUUCGUGAAUGCAUGUCUCUUCAAAGCAUGCUAUCGCUCUCUCAGCUGAAGCGUCUACAGGAUCUCAAACUUGAGUGUUGCGAGUCUCUUCAAAGCAUCCCAGAGCUUCCCUCCUGCAUACAAACGCUUGAAGUUGUGGGAAGUCCCGAAUUGAAAAGCUUGCCAAAUCUUUCCGAUUUUGAAUUUUUGUCGGAACUAAGGCUUCAGGGUUGCGACAAGCUGAAGAAAUUGGAUGGACUGGAAUGUUUAAAAUCCCUAAGAAGGUUGGACCUAUCAGUAUAUGGUGAAUCGAUGUCUCAUCUCCAUGUGAUAGAAGGCCUUGAAAAAUUAGGAUCUUUGGAAUGGUUGGAUAUCUCUAGUCGCGAGCACAUUCAAGUACUGGACCUUUCAAAGUCAGAGCAUCUAGAGCGGUUGAUUGUUAAGGAUUGCAAAAGCUUAGUUGAAAUUCGCUGCCAUAGUAAAUUCCUAGAGCUCUUUGAUAGGCGUAGGUGCGAGUCACUCAAGAUAUUACCGGACUUUUUACCACAUGACGGGCUAUGGUCGGAUCUUCAUGAGGGCAACGACGACUUCUUGGACUGGGAUAGUUGGUAGUAAGAAGAGGAGGAGGGUAGAAAUCGAGCACAGAGAGAAGGGGGAGAGAUUGAGGUCCACUAUCAUCUGGUGGUUUGUUUCUAUCUUACUUCCGAUGGACGAUGAUGGGAUGACUGAUUUGAAAGUGAGAUUCAUGCUCACAUGCUCCGCUAGCUGAGAAAUGGAAUUCGGCUUCUAACCUCACCCACUCACCGAUUGCUUGAAAUGGAGCAACACAGGAGUUUGAUGAUGGGGUGAUUAUGGAAGCGAGAGAAUGUUGGAGGCGAGGAAUCUGGUGAAGGAUCUUCAUGUUAGGUCUUCAUUGCUUCCGGUUGCCAUAUCUUCAGAGUCCAGGUGAUUGGACCCCUUUUAACAUUAAUCCAUUUUUGUCGCCGAUUGAUCAGUUUAUUCGUUGGUUGAUUCUUGGCGUGAUUGGUGCGUGCACAUUCUGGUGAUUCGAGGUUUUGAGUCGCUAUUGUUGGUCUGAUUUUGGAUGUUCGAUGUCUGCACAUGGAGGAAAUGAAAUGAAACUAAUAUGAGCUUUUCAGCAUGUUCAGUGAAGCAUGUUUAGUUGUCCUGUUAUAUUUAUCAGCUUGUGAUUCCUGUUAGGUGCAGAGAUCUGCUCGAUUAUUCUCUUCUACCAGUUUGCUAUGGUGCAACGAGAUAACUCUAGCAGCUUUUGAUUAGGUUUCGUGUUAAUGGUGGUGAAUUUUCCUUGUGUUAUCUUAGCAGUUGCAGAGCAUGUAUAGCAGGAUUAUCAGGACUUAUGAGCCUAUUACAGGUUUAGGUUGAUUUUAUCACCCUGUCUAGGUAGCCUAGAAAGCGAUUGCAGAGUUGUCGGAACUAAUGUGAAUUAACUUCAAGUUGAAUGGGAAGAUUACCUUGAUUGAUGAGGUUCUACUUUCCUAGCCAUUUCUUUCUUGUUCUCGGAUCUUGAAGCACCUUGAGGGGUGAUGAGAAGUGGAAAGAUGAAUAGUCUCCUAUGAACCAUUUGUUUGUACCUAUGAUCCAAAGUAGGAUUUUCUUCAUGAGCCUGUGGAAAUUCCUUCUCAUAAGAUUCUCCGAGGAUGUCCUUACUCAUCUGAGUUAGCUAAUAACAAUUGAAAUGGUGUUGAAUGCUACUAAUUUCACACGGAAAAUGAUACUAGUGGUUUGAAUUGUUGUGAUGGUGAUAUGGCUUGUUCAUUUUGUCCUUACUUUUUCUUUGCUAGCUUUCUAGUUGAAUGGAAUUGCUCCUUAUCUCCUUCCGACUGUGGGAAAAUGCAAAAACUUGACCUGUGAUAAUAGAAGUCCAUUGGUUUCUUCUUUGACCAGGAUUUAUCGGGCUCUGACAUUGUGGUGUGUUUGGAAGAACUUUUGCUUUUAACUUCCGUCUAUUGUUUUUAGCAUUUGCAAUGUGUGUUCUGUUCAAUACUCAGUGCUUCAAACCUUCAGAAAACAUAAAACUUUGCAUUUUUUGGCCUAUUAUAGCAAAAUAAUUCUUGUCUUGUUGACAAGGUCAGGAAGUACCUUUUGAUUUCUAAUGUUGAAACGGAAACACCAUUAAAUUUGUCUCUAUUUCCAUGGUUGGUUUUCAUUCUGUCAUCCUUUGUAUGGAUCCUCUACAAUGUGAUGGUCUUGCUUUUUGAAGGUUACAAACUCUAUGCUAGUCGAUUGUUGCCCGCACCGAUGUGAAAUUCAGAGUACAGAGCUAAUUGAAUCUGAUUGUUACCUGAAGAUUUCAGUUCACAAAAAGGUGUUGAAGAAUGACGUUGAGUCAUGCUUGAGAAAUAUCUGGUUGUCGGCUGGUUCAAUUAUGAAUUUGAGGAUUGCGUCUCCAGUGGGGUUGGGUUAUGUUUGAUGCCGGGUGGAGACUGCUUUGGCCAACUUAUUGUCUGUUCCUUAGCUUUUCAAUGUUUUUCUUUUCUCAUGCUGGGCAAGAAGGUUGGUCCACAAAUGAGUCGUGCCCUCUAUUGCUGGUGCUGCAUUGUUCCGUGGUGGAGUCUCUCGCCGAUUUGCCUGCAAAAACUCCAUCUGUGUUGUUUGGGAAGCUUGAUUGUGGAAUGGUAAGGAAGAAGAUCAAUCUCUGGAGCUUAGUUUGGAGGCUUUAGACGUUGCCACCAUAAAAUAAGCAACAUUUGUUUUGUCCAAUUUCAUUAGUGCAGAUAAUUAUGUGUCACUGUUCAAAUCCGCUUUUGCUGAACAAGUGUAGUCUAUAUUUACAUUAAUACAUAAAAUGUUGUUUGGGGUGUUCAUCUGCAAGUUUAAAAGUUGAAGCACGCCGGUUGGUAGCUGAUUACCAAUUUGGUGUUAGUUUUUGUCCCUAGUAGUUUGGUGCAAUAUGUUGUGAUUGACUUAUCGUGAUGAAGUUACUGUAAUACUUGGCAUUUGACCAACUAAAAAGGAAAUUCUGGGGCCUUGAAAAAAAGAAAAAAAAAACAAAAGAGAAGGUUGAAAAAUCAACUAAACAAGGGAAGUGGACGUCGGCUAAAGGGAAGAAAAAUAAGACACUCGGCUCCCUCUUAAACUGAGAGCUCAUUUAGAAGGAAAAUGGAGAGGAGAGAGAAAAAGAUUUGAUUCUGGAGAUCACUAACAUCUCCUACUAAACAAAAAAUAUAGCAGGUAUGGUGUGGAGAUUUCCUACUUUCAGUAGUAUUUUCAGUUUGGACAGGGCUUUUCUUUGACACGUUAUUUUUUUGCCUGUCUUAAUUCUAGCAACUGGAGGAAGUUAUUUGAGCAAAGUAAGUGUGAUGUUUUAGUAUUAUCUGGCUCGUGAUCAUGACAUGAAUAAAAAAGAUCCCAAAAGGAUAUUUGAUGUCUUCAAUCAUAUAGUACGAGAUUCUUCAUUCUGACGUGGUAUCAAUCUGCGCUUGUGUAAUGAAGUAAUACUCUUCUCCAACUUCUAUGAGUAGAGAAAUCACUAUCCAAUGGAUUUGGAAACUGCUCAUGCAUUUUGGAUCUGAUUGCAUUUUAUUAACUCGUUAUCUGGUCAAGGAAGUAGGCAGUGAAGGUACCAUAAACGUGCUCUGCAUUUCCUCAAAGCCAGAGCACUAAUGUCAAGAUAAUGAAUCUCCAUGGAUAUAUGUCAAACUUUGUUUGUCACUUAAUAUGCCAAUAUGAAGGUUGCUCUCUUUGAAGGCAGAUAUAUGGCCUUGAUCAAGCUGAAAGUAUUAUCAUUAACAGUGGAAACCCAGUGCAAAUCAUGUUGCUGCUCUUUCCUUGUAUUACUUCAUGCCUUUAUUAAUCAUCUUGCAAAUUCGUACCUUAACAUCAUUUGCAAUUUAUUACUUCAAUUCGGUCAUCGUUUGGUAAUGACAAUGUCUGCACCCCUAGAGGCUUUAGAAGAACAGAGGAUUUCCACUGUAUUAUCGAUAACAGUGUGAGAUCCAAACCAGAAGUAUGGAGGAAGUCCUUAAAUCAACCGUAUUGCUUUCAUGUUUUUGGGAUAAACAUGACUAGUAAUCAGAGAGCUGAUCUAGAUCUCUUAAUGCCAUCUUUUCUUGAACUGCAGCUCAAAUCAGAAUGUUUUUUUAUAGCUGCCACUAAAUAGAAUUGGAAAGCCACUUCUCCAAUAACUGUGGUUUCAGCCAUAAAUGUGCACCAUUUUUGGUUAGGCUGAUGGGAGGGACAAAAAAUCUUUUCAGAGCUUGGGUAUUACCCAGCUGUUUAUGGCACUGAAAUGAAGUGGGAGGAGCUGUGCAUAUGAUUUUUAAUUCUAUGGAGGCUUAAUCAGUACUACAUCAGAAGUAAGGACUUCCAACUGUAACUGUAAUCUUGACAUUGGAAUAGCUUAUUGGCAAUAUUAGGAGUGCAAAUUGACUUGGCAGAUACAAGUCAUUUCUUUUAUUAUUAUUUUCACAAUAGUUUGAUGCAUGUCUUUGAAUCCUGAUGAGAGAAAUCAUGUUCUUUCAUUAUCAUUCACUCAAAUAGAAUACCAGAAUGAUGGAGAACACAUAUGCCUCAUAUAGAAUUAUGAAGACUAUUUGCAUGACAGCAGCACGACAGAGAUCAGGUUGUGGAGAUCAUCUGUGUUUCCUAGUAAUUGUAAAUAUAGCAGGUAAAGUAUCAUAUUUAGUUAAAGAGUACUUACUUCACAUUAGUAAUUUCAGUUUGGCAUGGGGUUGUGUCGAUGUCUUAUUGUUUUCUGUCUUAUUUCAAGUAAUCUCAGGGAAAUUGGUCGACUAAGUGAAUGUAAUGCUCUGGCAUCAUCUGGCUUGUGAUCCUGGUGGGAAUGAAAAUAGAUAAGAAUGCCUUCAAAGUACAUUGCAUGUCAUUAUACGUCAUCAGUCACAAAGAAAGACUUUUCAUCCUUGACAUGACAUGAAUAUGUUCUUAUGCGAACAGAGAGUGUUACCUUUUUCCAAGUUCUAUUAAGAUCGUUUCCUAGAACAGAGGAUGUUUAUUAUGUGUUUUUUCAUUUUUUUUUUCAAUUCACUUACGCAUAAUAAAAAAAGAACUUCAUUACUUGUUAGCAAAUGAUCCACCCAAAAGCUUAAAGCACUAGUUAGAGGUAGACUCAAUGUAUAUAACCCCUGUUGAAACCCUUUAUUUAACCAAUGUGGAAUAACACUUCUAAUAAUUGAUUGAUUUUGGGAACUACUCAUGUCUAUGUAGUCUUGAUUGCAUUUUUAUUAGCUUAUGUCCGCUUAUUCUGUCAUGGAUUAAUAAGCUACUGGAGGCACUAUCUUAACAUUUUUACUUUUCUCAAAUCCAGAACACCAAUGUUGAGAUGACUUAUUUCCAUGGAUCUAUAUGCAACUUUGUUUGUCAGUUGAGAUGCUAAUACAUAGAUUGCUCAAUCUGAUGAUGGAUUCAAGCUCUUGAUCCUGUCAGAAGUAACAUCCUGUACGGUGGAAAAUCUGGUAGGAAUCAUGUUGUGCUCUUUCUUGUUUGUAGUCAUGCCUAUAUGCAUCUCACAUGUUCGUAUCAUCAGUUAGUGUCUUUACAUAUCAAAUUUGCAUCCUUCUGUUCGUUCUUUUUUUUGGUGAUGACAAUUUCUCAUGCCCUCGAUGCUUUAAAUGACCAAGAGCUUCACUGUAAUUUUGGCAAUGAUGUGAGAUCCGAACCAAAUAUCUGGGAUAUGGAUGUAACAAGGACAUUCUUUAAGCCGAUUGCAUUGCGUUGUGCUUUAUGAACGGGAGCUGUCCGUCAUAUAAUGAAAACAGGUGCUUUACUUCACUCCUGAAAUGUUUGAGAGCUGAUCUGACUCCAUAAAUGUCCAUUUUUUCUUGAACUAUUACUUAAUCCGAUCAGAAUACUUUGUUACAGAUGCCACCGUAGCAGAAUAGAAUUGGAAGUUCAACCUACUAAAUAUGAGAGCACCGCGGAAAUGGCCAACUACGAUCCCAGCGAGUGUGUUUGCCUUCUUCACUCCAAACCCUACAGUCUAUCCCUGCAGUCUAUUCAAUAAGGUACUAAACUAUCUCAAUUAUACUUGCUACUAAUAACAUUUUCUCGCUAGGGGUCUCAUCAAAUUAACCAGAAGAUUAUUCAUACCAUUUUCCAGAGUAGAGCAAAGGAGAGCUUCUAGGUUCCUAGCUUGCCAAAACUUGUCGAAUGGACGCACAUGGCAUGCCAAACAAAAAGCUACUGCCAAAGGCUAGCUUGCCCAACCUUCUUGGAAGAUAAAUAGGCACUCAUCACGAAUGCUUCUGUGAAGUAAUCACACACAUCUACACAGAGAGUGUUAAAAUGGCUGAUAAAAUGGUUGAUCAGUUCAGGGCAAUGGACUUGAACAAUAAAAUAGAAUGGUAUCCUGUGAUUUCGCCUGAAUGGCUAGGUUAUGUUGCGAUAGUCGAGUCGAGAUAUCACAUGAUAUAUACCGUGUCACAGUCUUUUAGCUUCGGAGUUCUGGUGGAAACAUAUGGUCCCGAUUGGGGAUUGGUGAGGGAACUUAGCAUCUACGUUGGGCAUGCGAUUCACUACUCCAAAUCAAUUUUGGCAUUUUUCUCUCUCUUUUCGAUGUUGGUCGAGUUACCUAGUACAUCUAGAUAACGGUAAAACCUUGGAGAUACAAUCUUACGACUUAUUUCAAUUUGCACAUACAUUGCUGCAUUGCAAGAGGUAACUAUAAAUUGUUUGAUUCUCGACAUCUGGAUUGAAAUGUAAUCUCACCUAACUAGAGGAGAAAAGAAGUACAACCCAUCACCAGAGACUGGUUCGUUUAGUUAAUAAAACUCAUGCUUGGACUGCUUAAAUUAUAUCAUUACGCAUCAAGACUAAUAUUAUAAAUCUAAGACGAAUAUUUACAACACGGUCGAAACAUGAUACUCGCCAUUAUUCAUUUUGAAGGGGAGCUACGCUUCUAUGAGUUGGACAGGUGUUGUUCCAUGGGAAGUCCGAAUAUCAGGAGCUUCUUGUUUUCCAAGUGACUUCUUACCUUUCAUGAUCGCUCUCCAAUUUUACACCAGAAGUACUAUGACAAAGCAAUGGCUACGCUAUUAGUAUUUAGGAUACAAGUAUUUAGGAUACAGAUGAUCCUGAUGAAUCGUGAAGAUCGAUGAGCUUACACAAACUCUGCAUAUAUACUACCACCUCAAAUAAGAUUUUCUUGGGGGAGAUUGUUUUUGCAAAUGAUUAACUUAGGAGAAAGUCUACAGUGUUAGAUAUAACAAAGUUUAUUUUCCAAAAUCAGUAAACAGAUCUCGUUAAACAUUAGAUUAACUUCGGUCUGAUACUUCCCCUGCCCAAGAAACUAUUUCAACAAGCAAUUAGUCGAGUUGACAGCAUCUUGGAUGGUAUUCUUACUCACGACGAGCAGACAGAUAUCUUGUGGCUCCUUUGAUAUAUUCGUUUGUUCAUAGUCAGCGGAGCAUGGCAGAGUGGCAACUCUGGAUAGUCAAAUCCAACUGAUGUAGAAGGAUGAGUUUGUUUACCAAGAGAUGCUCACGCAUCUUCCCCUCUGUUCAAUCCCCAACCCGAAGAAGGUGGUCUCUCUCUCUUUAUUUCUUUCCAACUUCUUUCAUCUUUGAAGUUUUGAUGCUGUGAAAGUACUCACUUGAUAUUUUUACAGGUGCUGCUCGUUGGUGGGGGAGAUGGAGGUAUUCUGAGAGAAAUAUCUCGUCACACGUUUGUGGAACAAAUUGAUAUAUAUGAACUCGACCAAAUGGUGAUUGAUGUAAGCAAAAUUAAACUAUGAAAACCUUCCACAGUUUCAAGCUUGAGCAAUUGGGUUCAGGAGGACCAUAGCAGUUAUUUAUAUACUUCUUGUGUCCUGUUGCAGGUUUACAAGCAAUUCUUCCCUGAAAUAGCAAUUGGGUAUGAGGAUCUGCGAGUGAAUGUGAACAUUAACCAGGGUAUAUUCAAUAGUUGUUACACAUUGAUGAAUAUAAAUAAGUUGCAAGAGAUUAUUUAAUUUAACUUACUUUAAUUUCAACAUCGCAGGAGUUGCUUUCCUGAAGGCGGUUCCUGAAGGAACUUAUGAUGUGAUCAUUUUGGAUGCAUUUGAGUGUAUGGGUAUUGUCGAGUGCUUAUAACCUCCCCCACCUCUUUGAAAUUUAGUAUGCCUCCGAUUAAUUGAAUAACUAAGCAGAAUAACAGAAAUCUCAUAGGGUGGUAGGUCAUACAUCUACUUAUUUCAAGUAAUUCGAAACAUUCAGACACCUCCAAGAAAAGGAGUACUUGCUAAUCAUGCGUAAAAAAAUUCAGGAGCUACUGCAAUUGAACUAGCGAAUAAAGAGUUCUUGGAAUCGGUGGCUCGGCCGCUCCAUCCUAGAGGUGUCAUGUCCGCUCCAGCAGACAGCUUUUGGCUGGACAACUUCAUAGUGGAAGACACUAUUGCUGAAUGUCGCCAAAUCUUAAAGGGCUCAGCGAGAUAUGCUUGGAGUACAAUUCCUUCCUUCUCCUGUUUUUCAAGUUUACGAUGGGGAGAAUGAAUUUUCGACUUUCUUUACCAUUAGAGGGACGAUUGAAUUUGUGCUCUGCUCCACUGUUGGGCUGGCAGUUGACUUCGAGAAACCUAUCAAUCCUCUAGAUACCAAGAACAAUGGGGUGGCUAAAGGGCCUCCUAAGUUCUACAACUCUCAGGUAAAAAGGAUAAAAGAUGUUACACGUAUGUGAACUGGAAAUUUGAUGUCUUGUUAAUGCAAACCUCUUUGCCUCCUGAUGUGCCAGAUCCAUACUACUGCUUUCUGUCUGUCAUCUUUUGCAAAGAAGGUAGGCAGUGCCAAAUUCUAAUAAACAGAUGUUUCUCGCAUAUGGCCUAUAAAAGAUGGAGAAACAACAUCCUUAUUUGUGUUCUUCUGUCUUCAUUUUUUUUUUUUUUUCUGUUGUCCAUUGUUUGUCGAUCAUCGACUGUAAUACCCAAUGUGGCCAUAUCAAAUUACAAAUAAGCAUCACAUGGCUGCCCGUCAAUCGCUGAGAGGCAGUAGGCUAUCAUUUUACUUGAUAAGAGGUCGAUCUCUGUCCUGCUCUAAGUUACUGAGUCCAUUUGCCCAGGAUCCUCUCAUACAUGCACGAAGAGACUUGACACAUCACAUUGCAGCCAAGACAGCUCCUUUAAGUAGUGUAGCACAUGCCAAAAAUCGAUGUGGCCUCAUAGUAGUGAGAUCAAAUAGGUAUAUAUAAUCAUUGAGCAUUAGCUGCAUGGUCUGUUCCACUAGUUUGUGCAUAGCUAGUCCAUAUACAAAUCUCUGAAUCAUCCCAACAUCAGUGAUGCAACUUUGAAUUAACUCCAUAAUCUCUGAGGUCUAACUUCCAUUGGAAGUAUGAAGAUUUAGCUAGUGUUCAAAAGGCCUAAAGUUCCUUUCAGAAAGGAAGUAUUUCUUUGUCAGAACUCAAUUUGAUGCUUACCCUAGAACAAUUAAGCUUAUAAAAUAAACCCUGGCCAAGAAAAACCGAUUUUUACUAGCUUUUUAAUUAAUCUGAGAAACAGUUUAUGCAUUUAAUUAGCCACUCUUGUAGUAGUCAAGGAAAUGUUCUUGAAAUAUGUAUCCAACCGAUCGGUGUAUUUUACUCAGACUUCUAGUUAUGGCUUUGUUUUUCUGAGUUUUAAAAAGACUAAAAAUUGUUUUGAGUUCUAUAAAUUUGUAAGGGAAUUAUAAAUCAUUUCAUUUGUCAACAUUUGAAAUUUCGCAAAGGUUUUCGGGUAUUUCGCUAUAAAUACAGAUCGACCAAUCAUGGUCCCUAAAUUUGACGAAGGAAAAGGUCCAAAGUCAGACGAGACCUAAAGCCAUGAAAACUUCAGUAGUACGAAGGUUAUUAGAACUGCAGAAAUUAUUUGAUUUGUGAACAAAAUUUCUUGCAUUCAUAUAUGGAGGCAUGGAAAAUUGCACGUUAUUUUUCUUUGUGAUUAGAUUUGUCUGACUUUCCAGUCAGCUUCGCAUAAUGUGACAGCAUUGAUAAGGAAAGCGCGGGGCAAGACAUUUUAUAAUUCAUCAGAUUGCAGAAACUUGAAGAGUCUAUGAAAAUGAUAUAAGUACCAAUCAUGUAUUUAUUUACCGAAGAUAUAUUUAUAUGAUAAGGUCCCCACUCAAUGAACAGGAAAUUAGACGGCCAAUGUAGAAAAUAAGUUGGGAACGCGUUGACUUGACGAGAAUUUCUUUGGUGCAAAUGACAAGCCAAUUCGGAUUUUUCGUAAAUCUUUCCCAUGGCCAUUCCCAAGAGUCAAAGUGCAUCGAUUGCAAGAAGAAAUUGAAAGAAAAUUUGAAAUUUCAGUUUAGCGAUUGAAACUACAGCUCAAUGAUUGCAUUGCAAACACCUCUUUAUGUUUAGUGAGGACCGGUGGAAUUUAUCUUUUAUUUGGGCUCCGUUUUUUCUGUAAAAAAUGAAUGAUUUGAAAAAUAUUUUCCUAAAAAUGAUCACUUGAAAUAAUUAGUCAAUGAAAAAUAUUUUUAUUAUUGAUAAUAAUAUAUAUAAAUAUUUUCGUAGAAGAUGAAAAUAUUUUUCGUUCAUUGAUUUUUGUAAGUGAUACAAGCUAUCAUUUUUAGAAAAGUAUUUUUCAAAUCAUUCAUUUUACACGAAACGAACGAAGGUUUUGUAAGGGACUAGCUUGACUUUGUCAAUUGAUGUUUUGAGAAGUGGGGAGACAAAAACAUUGGGCUGAUGGGGUCCAAGAUUCCCAAGAACAAGCAGACUUAACGAAAGAGUUAUUUUUGCAGCGUAGUUCAUUGAACGAGAAAGCAAACAAUAAUAGUAUUAGUACCCUCUUGGGAAGAGUUAUUCUCCUUCAUUCAUUAUAAAUAAAUCACACAAACUUCUCUUUUCAAACGCACCCCUCUUUUCCUCGCCGUUGUGCAUUUACGUUGUGGUUUUCUCACCAAAAAAAUGCCAAGAAGGAGCACUUAUGCAGAUCACUCCCACAACCCCCGAGCCGAGGAAGAAGAAGAAGAUUACUAUGAAGUGUUCCCGAGCUUCUGUGAUGGAGAGACUUGCGCCGGCUGAACCGACUGCCUCUAUAGGAGCCUGGUCGAAGCGGGAGUCUGUGUUUACAGAGACAACAAUGAGCUUCACACAAGUAAGGUGUUUGGCCCGGAACUUCUUAGUGUGAUUAUAUAAUCUGGGAUAUUGAUCCCAAUUCUCUUAGAAAACUAUAGCUCCAGAGAAUGGUGCCUCCACGAGCUCACACAGAUGAUGGAUGGACUACAAGAGAAACAAUGGAAGGUAUAUGAUGUUGCCUGUAUUUUAUGGGGUGAAGCAAGUGCACGUGCGGCACCAGGCAGGGAUUUUCAGGGAGAGGUUUCGAUCCGGUACGGGGUGGCUCAAUGAACGGGUUGCGGAGAAAUGGAAGCAGGCGUUUGGAGAAGUCGGUUCCAUAUUUGGAUAUGAAUCCGGGAGAGGGUACAUCUUGUUUCUAAACUUACCUCGUUUACCUUUUUUUCUAUUCACAAUAUCAUUUGUUUUUUUUUUUUUUGGCCAAAAUGAUACCUUGUUCACUUCCAUCAACGAUUUUGGCUUCGUUUAUUUCUCAAAAUCAAUAAUUUAGAAAAAAACAAAUCGUAAAAAAAGUAUCUUCAUUUUUAUUGGAAAAAACAAAAACUUUCAUUUUCAUUAUCAUAUUCGUUGACAAAAAUGAAAGAUCAUCUCCCCGCGUUCUUUUCAUGCUUCUCUGUGCCUUGUCACCCAACGAGCCUCACGUGCAUUUUUCACUUGGUUUUUGUUCCCUGUUUAUCACACAAGUAAGAAUGAUUACAUCAUUUACAUGAAGGCGACCCGAUACAUAGUCUGGUUUCCUAUACCCAGAUUUCCCGAAACAUCGAGAUUCAUGAAAGAUGUACAAAAUUAUUUCUUUUUAAGUUUAAAUGAGUAUUCAGUGGCUUAAGUAGUGAGGAUAUUGUUGAUUAAUCAACACUUAUGCCCUCAGCAACCCAUUCUUUUUCUUUUUCUUUUUCUUUUUAAAAUUUUCCAUAGAGAUAUUACAAAUGCCACAAAAACCCCCUAAUUUUUUUUAUCACAAAAAACUCUAAAUUGAUAUACUUUUGACAAAUUUACCUCAAACUAAUUUUUUGACAAAUUUACCCUAUGUUUGUGACUAAACAUGGGAUAAAUUUAUCACAAAUACAUCAGUUUGAAGUUUUUUAUGGUCAAAAAAUUAGUAUAGGGUAAAUUUGUCGUAUGUGUACUAUUAGAGUUUUUCAUGGUAUUAACUUAUUUUACAGCAAGGUUAUACUUCACUUACUCGACUUCGUUGUUCUUUGAGACGCAGGAAACAGAAUUGUUCAAGAAGGUAGUUAAGCAGGUUUGUGGCGCAUUAGUGGAAGCCCAUCAUCUCAUCGUUUCCAUGGACACAAAGGUGAGAGCGAGAUUGGAAGAGGAUUAUCGCCGUGAGUCGAUGCGCCUCGCGAAAGAAAAUCAUUGUGCGGAGGAGAGGGAAAAGUUACAUUGCGACUUUCAGGACAGUCUAAAGCGGACGCCGGUGCUGAGGAGCAUGCGGAGCAAUGGGAAAAUGGUCAGGAAUAAGAUACACAUAGCUUUGCAUGAGUACCCGCAGCCUUGGAAUUUAUAUUCCAUGACUCAUGACAGGAUGGAGCAAUUAAGUUCGUAAUGUAUUAUCUUGGAGGUUACCUCAGUUCAAACCCUAGUGACAUCAAAUUUAGUUGCUUUACCAUUCUUUUUCUGGACCAGUUUCUUCUAUGUUUUGGUUGGGUCAAGUUUACAGCUCGUUGUUCAAAUUUCGAUUUACUUCCUAUUUUGUUCCUGCUGAAUUUAUCUGAGUGUUGUAGUUGCACUAGCAUGUGAAUACACAGUAUAUAUUUGUUGUGAAUUGAUCAAUUUGAACGUGUAGGUAAGCUACAACCUCUUUCGACUCAUGAGUAUAAAUUGGAGCACAUUAUCAUUGGCUCCAUGUUGAGUCCUCAAAUACACUUUAGCCGCAAGAGUUCAAGUCAGAUGACAGUCGAUAAACUUACCAAAAAACAUGCUCAAUUUCUAGAUGAUCUUAUUCCAUUACUUAUGGUAUAGACAAGCCAAUCUCUAAAUUGACAGCAUGGAGUUUUGCAUUCACAUAGAGAUUAGAAAUUUGUUAUUAGAUUGGAGAUAGUUUUUUUUUUUUUUUUGAGUCAGAAAGAAACGACUGUCAUUGCUAUCCAAAGGAUGGAUUAUAAGAGUUUCCAAGAUCACAACAUAAAAUUCACCAUAGGAAAUGGGGAGGUUCAGCAAGCCUAGUAGGCCAAAGGGUUUCGGUUUUAUGGGCCUUGGUGACUCGGGACAGUUUACAAGGGUUUCCAAGGAUUUCUUUUACAACUCUUUCAUCGAAGAUCUCAUUUAGUUUUUGGAUCUUCCAUACGCCUAAGUCCAGGGAAAAGCUUUUAAAGACUACCUUGAAGUUUAGUGUUGUGUUCUAUCUACUUGUUAAGAUGAUGUAUUUUAGGGACAAAUGCUUCUAAUUACACCGUCAUGCAAGCAUUGAGAUGGCACCAUGUGAAGCAUUGUGAUGAAGGAAGUGUGUAUCACCGAUACGCUGGAAAAAUGAGAGAAAGGAAUCUAAGUUAGAAAAAUGAUAAUCUAACGGUGUUGUUAUUUACAAGGAAAGUGACAGUGCAUUCACCAUUGCACAUAUUGCAAGAGAAACCAAUCAACUUGCUUCACUGGUUUCUCUUUACUUAUUCAUUGUCUGUCAUCCGCAGGGCACUGACAUCAAGAUAUGCAGAGAGAAAGAGGGAGAUUCUUUGUGUUCCCGGUUGCCAAUUGCAUGUCAAUGGCACUUUGUGGUAAAAAAGGUACCAUUAUUCCUUACCGUUAGCAUAGCAGCUCUCUCCAAGUUAAUCAAGGAGCAUCCAAAGACGGAUUGGAGCAGAUGAAAGGGUCAUUUGACGGUAGAAAUGCGAAUGAGAAUUUCAAUCGGGCUACAAUGAUUUCGAUUCAACUGUUCAGCCUGUCAAUUGUCCUAUUCAACAUAUGGAGACUUCAAUUCAACAUCAUAAAUUAGAUAUUGUUUCAUAGUCUUCUUUCUCAUGCCACAAUUGUGAAUUCAUUCGAUUUCUUCAAGGUUCUUCCAACUGAAAGUUAGGAUUGUAGGGUUGAUGGUGAAAAUAUCCCAAGUUGAGAUACAAAGCAUAGUGAACAAUUGUGCAAUGAAACCCGUUAUAUGUAAUUGCUAUGUAGUGCUCAUCAUUAAUAGAAACUCCUCAUAUUUUCAAGUACCUACCAUUUAUAGAAGACGUGAUUUUGCCAUGAUAAAGAAAAAUAUGAAUUAAGGAUGCAAUUUAAUAACUCAUUAAAAAUUUUUUGGCAACUCUUAUGUUUCUCAUCUUAUGAAACCGUCGUUAGCAAGUAUGGCUCCAAUUUGGCCCUGGCCCCCGUUGCAUUAAUUUCCCUAAAUUAUCUCUAGCUGCCAUUUGAAGGACAAAAUUCAAUCUCUAAUCAUAAUAUGGAAAGAUUAUGCUGAGUCAGCACGGACAGAUCGACACUUUUGGCGCAUAUUUGUGUUCUCGUACAAGGUUCAAAAGCAAAUUACGAUUUCCAUCCUCGUACCUUCGGGAGUUUUCAAAUUCAGUUCAGUUCAGUCCAGUUCUGUCCAGUAGAUUAAAAGAUCCCUCCACGUCACUAGGACUGAAGAACAGCCGGCGAAAUUCAGCACAGCCGAGGUCGCUCGCCGGGAGAAGUCCGAGCCGAGUCUCCCGUUUCUUUUUCCCAGAUUCGAAGGAAGCGGAGCCAGAAUGGGAAUAGGUAUGGCAAUGCGUAAUCCUUUGGCCGUCGCCAUCGCAUCCAUCUUGGUCGCCGUGCUCGCACCCCGUUUCCUGAAGAAGAAGGAGAAGGAAACGAUCGGGAGCACCAAACCCGACGGACCCAUUUCGGUGGAAUCCGCUCCGUCUACCUCCGGGAACGACUACGAUGUGUUCUUGAGCUUCAGGGGCAGGGACACCCGCACCGGCUUCACCGACCAGCUCCACAGCAGCCUCGUCCACGCCGGGGUCUCCGUGUUCAGGGACGACGACGAGCUCCGCGUCGGCGAGAAGAUCGGCUCGGAUCUUCUCUGAGCCAUUAGGAGCAGUAAGAUCUCCAUCCCGAUUCUCUCUCCGGAUUACGCUUCCAGCAAAUAGGGUCUUCGCGAGCUCGCCCGGAUGAUCGAGUGCAAGAGAAGUGAAGAGCACAUCGUCUUGCCGAUCUUCUACAAAGUCGAGCCCGGGCAUGUGCGACACCAGACGGGGAGUUUCGGGAAGGCCUUUCGUAAAAUUAAGAAGCAUUAUGAGGCAGAGGUGGUCCAACGAUGGGAUCGAGCCCUCCAAGAAGUAGGAAGCUUAAAGGGAUGGGAAUCAGAGAGAAUUGCUAACGGGUACUUCUUCUUUCACUCGUGAUCCUGCUUAGCUAGAUCAAAAGUCCGAAAAUUUUAUGCCGCGAUCACUUUUGCAGUGGAAAAAAAUGAUGGGUUUUUAUCAAUUGGCUGCUUUUUGCUUCCUGUUUAUAUGUGGAUUUGCUUCCGCGGAGAUAUUGAUGAUCGGUUUCUUGUAUUGGACUUUGCUGUUAUUUCACAGACAUGAAGCUGAGUUGGUAAAGAUAAUUGUCAGGAAGGUUUUGGGCGAGUUAAAGGAAGCUUUUCAGUUAGACGUCACAGAGAACUUGGUCGGGAUUAGUAAUCACGUAGAGGAGAUUAUGAGAAUGUUAAAAACUGAUGACACUGAUACUCAAUUUGUUGGAAUCCACGGAAUGGACGGUGUUGGUAAGACGACUCUGGCCAAGUUCAUCUACAAUAAACUCUCCUGUCAGUUCGAUCACUGUAGCUUCUUGGCAGAUGUGCGAGAAACAGCAAAAGACAGGGUGCCCACCAUUUGCAGAACCAACUAAUCUCCCAUAUUCUAAAAGGAAAACACAAUGACAUCUCCAAUGUCGAUGAAGGACUUAGAAUCAUCAAAACUAGAUUUAGGCAUAAGAAAGUCCUCAUCCUUCUCGAUGAUGUGGAUGAUGUUUUUCAGUUGAACUGUUUGGCUGGAAAAUGUGACUGGUUUGGUUCCGGAAGUAAGAUCAUUAUUAUGGCAAGAAAAGUGAGUUUUCUUGAUGAGGCUCGGGUGGAUAACUCGUAUGCACUCAAUGGAUUGGAUCCUGACAACUCUUUGCUUCUUUUUAGUAGACAUGCAUUCAGAAGGGACUUCCCUUUGCCUGAAUUUGGGGAUCUCUCGCGUGAAAUUGUGUCCACUACGGGAGGGCUUCCUUUAGCACUCGAGGUUAUAGGAUCGUUCUUUUGCGGAAAACACCUAGUAGUAUGGAAAGAUACAUUAAGGAAGUUACGGCAAAUACCAGAUAAGGAAGUGCAAGAGAAGUUAAGGGUAAGUUAUGAAGCAUUAGAUUAUGAGCAAAAACAGAUAUUUUUGGAUAUUGCCUGUUUUUUCACUGGAACUGAUGGAAGAAUUGCAUCCUAUAUGUGGGAUGACUGUGAAUUUUUCCCAGGGAUGGGUAUUGAAGCAUUGAGUGUGAUGUCCUUGAUAAAAGUGGGAAAUGACCAUAGGCUGUUAAUGCAUGACCAACUGAGAGAUCUAGGUAGGGAAAUCGUCCGGCAGGAAAACUAUGAGGAGCCCAGGAAACGUAGUCGCGUAUGGAUUCACAAGGAAGCCUUACAUGUUCUAGAGAAAAAAAAAAAGGUGAGAGUUUUCUUUGAUUUACUUUUGUGCACUUAGUCAAUGUUUAUAAUCUACCAUAAGAGGAAAAAGAAGUUAGUAAAUUGAAUUAGUCCAGCCCUAGUUAAAAGAAGGCCUGUUCGUAAUAUUUUCAACAUUGUGUUACUCAUUGCAUAAUGCAAGUUUGUAAUUCAUGGGAGUAAUAUCCUUAGAGGGUGCUCUUCUGUGAUAAUCAAAGGUUCUCAGCUAACUUAUGGAGUUUAACUCAUUUUAAAGGACAUGUUAGCAAACUUAAUUGUAGCAGUGUUGAGCAUUUUAUAUAUUAGCUUCUGGUGGAUUGUGUAAGAUAAAUUUGUUGAAAGAUACUAUCCAAUGAGUUUAGCUGCAACCAUGUGAGCAUAGAAAUUAUUAUGAAACAACAUAUCAUAGUUUUGUUUUCAUGAUGCUUUAUUUCUGAUCCAUGGAAUUCUUACUUUCAGGGAACUAGAAAGAUAAAAGCCCUCCGUCUCAAUAAAAGUGGCUUAGGCAGGGUGUACAGCAAUGUACUGUUUGAAAAGCUACUGAACUUAAGGUUCCUUGAGAUGAAUAAUUUCAUCCUCUCUGGAGAUUUUGAGUAUGUUCUUUCUGAACUAUGGUGGCUUUAUUGGAAAAAUUGUCCAUCAAAUUUGGUAGCAACCAACUUUCACGUGAAGAAAUUAGUCAUACUUGACUUAUCAAGGAGCAAAGUCACAGAGCAUUGGGAAGGAUGGAAACUUAUGGAUGUAAGAUGAAAAGAGUAGAUUUUCCUUUCAAAAUAUGAUCAAUAAUUCUUAGUGGUUCUUAGUGGCUCAUGUUUCCGUGCUUUCUUUCUUUCAGGUGGCAAGUAAUCUGAAAGUUCUCAACAUUGCUAAUUGCCGUGACUUGAAAACAUCUCCUGAUCUCGCAGCUUUUCAAAAUCUGGAGAUUUUAAAUCUUGGAAAAUGUGAAAAUCUAACAAAAUUGCACCCUUCUAUUGGAAGCAUCAGCAUUCUGAUUUCCUUGGAUGUGAGAGACUGUUUCAGACUGAAGGAACUUCCAAUAGAAGUGGGCCAGCUACAAUAAUUAGAGGAGCUUUUUUAUGGAUAGAACUCGGAUGGAAGAAAUUCCCGUAUCGAAAGUUUCAAUGAAGAAGCUCAGGACUCUUAGUGCCCAGUAUUGUGAAUCAUUGGCUCGAAUACCCAGCUCGUUAAGCCAUCUAAAAUCUCUGUCAACCCUUGAUUUUAUGGGAUGCAAAAAGCUUGCUGAACUUCCAGAUGCCCUAGGGUGCCUUCAGAAACUGCAGCGCUUAUCAUUAAAAGAAUGUAGCUCAUUGAGAGGGAUCCCCAACUCAAUUGGCAAGUUGGAAUGUUUAACUGAGCUGGACAUAUCGUACACAGGAUUUACAGAGUUGCCUGAAUCCAUUGGAGACUUGAGUAAUUUAGAAGUUCUGCAAAUGGCGGGGUCACAUGUAACAAGGUUACCUAGUGUUAUUGGGAUGUUGGGGAAACUCACCACAUUAGAUGCCACAAAUUGCAACAUCCUGGGCAGAAGUUUGUAGUAAUAUUGGUGAAUUGUUUCAUUGAAGGCCCUCCGAUUGUUGGGGACAGAAAUUUGUGGCUUGCCAGAAAGCAUUUGUAAGCUUUCUGUCUCCAAGACCUCAACUUACGAGGGUGCAAGAAGCUCCAAUUGCUGCCCAAACCUACCCUCUGGCUUGAGAACUCUAGGUCUCACUUGUCAGAGUCUUACAUUGCCAAUCCUUUCCAACCUGACAAAUCUAAAGGAACUCUCUGUCCUAGAAUGCACUACACUUGAAUGCCUCCCAGAGCUUCCCUCUAAACUGUCAAAGCUUUCCUUAGGAGGAUGCCAAAUGUUGAGAAAGUUGCCAGAUUUGUCAAACUUGAAGCAUCUUUCAGAAUUGAGUUUGAAGGUUUGCUCUGAAUUGAGAGAAGUCAAAGGUCUGGAAGGAUUAGUAUCGCUAACAAUGUUGGAUGUGUUGAAGUGCCCAAAGUUAUCUAGGCUUGAUAGGGUAGAAUGUUUGAUGUGUCUGAGGUACCUAAGCAUAGGACCGUCAGAAGCGUUAGAGAGGUUGAUGGAUUGUUCGGAACUGAGUAAUUUAAAGGUGCUUCCAAGUUGUGAGAAUCAAGCUGGAUUUCAAGCUCUUAAUAGCUUCAUUUGCUUGGAAGUUUUAGAACUCACUGCUUGCAUGUCUUUGGAAAGACUGGACCUUUCAACUUUGAAGCUUUUAAGGAAAGCAAGUGUUAGGAAAUGCAAGAAUCUAGUCGAAAUUAGAGGCCUUGACAGCUUGGAAUACUUGGAAAGGUUGGAUAUCUCUGAGUGCACAUCCAUUAAGAGACUGGAUAUUGCAAAAUUGAAGUAUCUGAGAUAUUUAUGGGCUUCCAAAUGUAAGAAUAUAUGUGACGUCCAAGGCCUUGAUGUCUUGGAUUGGAAUGGUUGGACAUCUCUGGGUGCACAUCGAUUGAAACAUUACCAGGCCUUUCUUGCUUCAAGACACUGAGGUUUCUCAAUAUCAACCACUGCAAAAAACUAUGUGAUAUUCAGACCCUGGAGAAAUUCUCAUCCUGCCAAUGGUUCUAUAUUGAUGGAUGCAAGUCCCUAGAGAAACUGCAAAACCUAUCAAAAUUUGAAGGUUUGAUAGAGUUGAUAGUGAAAGAUUGUCAUGAACUUCUGGAUAUUUCAGAGCUCAGAGAGUUGAGAUCAUUAGAAUUUAUAGAUAUGUCAAGAUGCAAGUCCAUUGAGCAUCUACCAGAUUUGUCAAUGUGCAAGAACUUGAAAUGUUUGGUUGUAAGAGACUGCAAGAAACUUAUGGAGCUUACAGGGCUUGGAGACUUGCAUUCACUGUGGUGAGUGGAUAUUACUGGCUGCAAGUCACUGAAACAAAUACCGGAAUUACCUGGAGCACACAUCAUGCAGAACUAUGGAGAACCUACGUUUCAUCCCUUGUAUGGGACUAUAACUUUCAGCUGAUAUGCUGCACAUAGUUCUACUGCCAUGUCAAACUUGAGAGAGUAAAAAGAAGGUGAUCACCCAUGCCCUGUUCACACCUAUUUCCUGUGUUUUAAUAGUGUUAUCUGUAUCAAGAAGUAAAUUUUCCUUCAUGGCCUUUUCUAUUAUCAUUUCUUUCCCCUAUAUAGUUCAAGCAAUGGAAAGAAGUUGAUGCUCUGGCAAUUGUUUAUUUCUAGAGUGGAACUUCUUCGCCCAGUUGGAAACCUUCUCUAAGUACGUUUGAUAUCAUCGUGGUUGACAACUCGAGUUCUUAAUCUUCAACAUGAGAUUGAUUAGUGAUGUGCAUGUACAGACUUCGGAGGUUAUUUUGCUUGGAUACCUGAUAUGUCCUGUUUGUUUCACUAACACAGGGAACAGGUGACUAAAGUAGAACAUCUUCUGAUGAAUUUUUAUGUUAGAUUUGUAGAUGUAUAUUUGCUGUUACUUGCCUUAUCGUUAUGAAAAUUACCUUAUCACGACAUUCCAUUUCUUGAAUUGUUAGCAGGAUUCAUGCAGUUUAUAGAGGCUCUAUCUAUAAUUUGUUUGGGAUUGACUACAUAUUGCAGCUUUCUGUGGAUGGACUUAGACAUUAUUAAAUUUUGGAACGCUUCUCCAGCUUGGACCUUGGAAAUUCCUCCGAGUUUAUAGGAGAGAUGAAUCUCAAAGAAUUAAUAUUCCUGGCUAUAUUGGAGUGCAACAAGCAAAGCUUCAUUUGAUUUUCACCGAGGAAUCAGCGUUUUCUCCUAAAUAUGAUUGAGGAGCUUUCCUCCUUUUCCUUUCAUGAUAAUAUUAUGCCUGAGAAUGUUCCUCAAUUUCAUUAUUGGACCAUUAUGCAAUCAGUUUUGAAUGAAGAACUAGAGUUCUUUUUCAUUAUGCAGUAACAGUGACAAUACUUGCAGGAACACCCAAGCCUGGUGAACCUAUUCUUCAUUUUAUCUCGAUACUUCCUGCACAUUCCACGUAAAUGAGCAAGGGUUAAUGACUAUUAUAAAUUGAGUUAAUAACUAGGGCAGCUGCUCGAUCACUACUUAUGCUCGUGGUUUUAGUUCGUUUCCUUUGGGGCUUCUUUCAUGGGAGUGAUGCUUUUCCAAAAUGUGUGUCGGCCAGCCUCUCCAUUUGUAAGCUAAGAAUUGUAGGAUCUGUGGUCGUGGGAAGAAGGAAAUGAAUCGUGGUUGUAUCAACCCAGAGAGUGAAAACUGCAUUGUAUCUAGUCCGUGUAUUCGCUUGUCAAACAAUGCAGUCUUUGGUAGUUAGCCUGUGCAAGUUCCCGAUGUAAGAGAACGAGAUUUAUUUACCUACUCGUGUAUCACAGUCGCCAUGAAUUGACCAGGAAGACACCAAGCGGCAAAACUAUGCACUGAUUUGCCUUUUCUCUCUUUCUUUUUAGUUCAAGGAACCAGGAGACUCCAAGAACAUAUGGAAAGCUAGCUGCCUUGUCGAAGGACAUUUACCGACAUAGCCACUGGCAUUGUGUAUCAGCUACUGGAAACCAUAUAUGGCAAGAAAAUAUCUUUCUAAGACACUAGAUGCUAUCAACUCGCGAUUCUCCAAUUGCUGACUUGCAAUUGGCAAAAGUGGCUCCAACCGUUCUGGAUUGAGAAAGAAUCAAUAAGAGUGGAACUGAAUAUUUUGCAUCCUCUGAUACGCGAAGAAGCGUGAGAAGUUCACUACAUAUCUGCAGGAAUUUUUGAGAGAUGAUCAUUUCUGUCUGAAUGGACCAUUCCAAAUCUUGUAUUGACGCGAGGGGAAGACAAACAACUCAGGGAUGUUUUAAACUGCUUCUGAGGCUAUAAAUUACUAUUAACUCUAAUUGCCACCUGCAUAAGAACGCCGGUUUAUUAAAGAUCUCACGUUCCCAUGUGCCUAAACUUGUUCAGAAAGAUGUGCACUUUACCCUGUAAAGCAUAUGCUCCACUUUUAGUUCAUUUAUUAGAGAUCUUCUAUCUGUUCUGGCUUAUAAUUUUCUCAACAAGAAGAGACAGUGUAAGCGAUGGUGCUGAUGCCAGCAGUUCAGGCGCUGUGGGAACAUCCACUUCUCCAUUCAUCUCUCCAAGUGGUGUGGGAAAUGACUGCAACAAAGUGUUCUUGAGCUUUAGAGGCACAGAUGCUCACACAGGAUUCACAAAUCACCUCUACCAUUUGCAAACUUGUCGAUGUAGGCACUGUGCCAGCUCAUGUUCAGAGAUGAUAAAGACCUCCAAGUCGGCAAGGAGUCUGGGUCAGAGCUUCUCAGCGCAAUCAUGCAGUCUAAGAUCACGGUACCAAUUAUCUCUCCCAAUUAUACUUCCAAUAAAUGGUGUCUUUGCAAGCUCAUUCAAAUGAUGGAGUAGAGAAAGAGAGGAAAGUCUUGCCGAUGUUUUACAAAGUCGAUCCCUCACAUGUGCGGUACUGGAAAGGGAGUUUUCGCAAGGCCUUCCGCUCACCCAAAAAGCAUUUUGAUGCGAAGGCUGUCAAGCCAGGGCAGCGAGCGAGCUCUCCGGGCAGGAUCUUCUUCCAAAGCAACUAUGAUCAUCAGUUUCUAACCGGUUCUCAUCAUAUUCUUCUUCCAAAGCCUGUUGCUGCUGCUAUUCGCCUUAUGGUUUCCUCUGAGACCCGAUCCAUAGGUAAUCUGGGCACUUGAACCCAAAACUCAUAAUGUGUGUAAUUGUAACUGUUCUGUGAAGUAGUUGGCAUCCAUGGUUUAAGCACCAAACGAUUGCUGGAGAAAGACCAAGGCCUCAUCUCACGAAUUCUGUUCAUUUCAUUUUCAGACUUAAAGGCUAAAGUUCUCACGAAUUCUGUUCAUUCCAUUUUCAGACUGCUAAAGUUCUCAAGUCUACCCGAUUAAAGGUAACUGAAUCCACUCUCCAUGCCGCUUCAUAGUGUUUUGGAAGGCUUAGAGAUUGAUAUUGGGGUUGCAAUUGCCUAAACAUAGUUAGACGACAUUCUUAUAUUCUACCAGUUGGGACCAUACCAUCUAUCUCAGCCAGGUCUUUUUCUGACCACAAAUUGCACAAUUUUUUGUAUAGUAACUCGAGAAUCUGAGUUAUCUAAUUCUUCCAUCCAAGAGGCACGAGAGGCAGACAGCUUACUCCAUAUGAAAAAAGUAUAGCAGAAGCAGCUAUUCCAAUAAAUUCAUUCUCGGGGUUGUAUCCCAAN